AAUAAAAAAAAAAAGGAGUCUCUCAGGUUCUGUGAAAUUUUUUGGAGCUCGUGAAGAAGAAGAAGAAGAAGAAUCUCUCAAGAAAAGCAGAGAGGAUGAGUGUACAUUAGCAUUAUCGAAAGCAUAGUUACGAGAAUAGGGAAAGAAAGAAGACAGUUGGAAAUCAGCAAAACGACAAUGGUACAGUGGAAGAAGAAGAAGCUAUGAUUCACAAAAAGGAAAAACGAAUCAUUAGAGCUAAAAAAGAAACUAUGAGCUUAAACAAGAAGAAGAUAAAUAAAGUCUUUGUCAAAAAAAUUGGGACUCAACGAGUAAUAUUCGCAAUUUGGAGUUAAAAAGUGAAACGAGACAAAAGCUAAAAGAUAGUGAAGAAGUGAUUGAAAGCGAAACGAGAGAUUAAAUCUUUUUGUGUGUUUUUGCUGUGAUUCUCUCUGCUGUCACUGGCGGUGAAAGGGGCUCGAGAGAGAUUAUUACAGCUUUUUUUUCUUGCAGGAGAGGAGAAGAGAAGAGAGAGAGAGAGCAUGCGCACAAAAGGUUAAGUAGCUGAUCAAACUAGACUUUGAGAAGAUAAAGUAAUUACGCAGAAUUAGUCUUUUUUUUUUUGUCAACAAUUAGUUUUUCUUUUGUAUGAAGCUAUGAUACAUUAAGGCUCUGAUUGGUAAUCUGCGGAAUGGCAGAAUUGCGUUUUUAAACACAAUUUCGCAGGUUUUUUGUCAAUCAACAAAAAUCCGCGUAAUGAAAAAAUACACACAAAAACGCAUACUGCGUUUUUGCUUAACAAAAAUAUAAAAGAAAAGUUAUUCCGCAGAAAAGCGACUUAUAAGUUAUUUAAUCUAUUCCGUAAGAUUUUUUCUGCAAUUCUGCCAUUCCGUAAAAUUACCAGUCGAAACCUAAGUUAAGGUUUUCUUGGAUAUUAGAAGAAGCGUAAAUAGUGGUUGUGGAAACCGAAGAACAUGAAAGGUUCGAGGGUUCUGUUUCUCGUUUUUCACGAAUCCAGUUUAAUCCGUAGUCCAUUUUCUCAGUUCCAACUCUUGCAUCGACUUCUGUUCCAAACAGACAACAAGUUUCUUUUUUGUUUAACUAAUAUUGAAAAAGGGAAAAAAGUAGAGUAUAAUCACUUCUGAUAUAUAAAUAUGCGAAAGAAAGGAGUAUUACUAUUUGUAUUAGCAUAUUCAUCCAAGAGAAAAAUAAAUACCAGAUAGCUAAAAUUAAUUUCAGUCCAUUGGGUCAUUCAUUGGCUUGUUUUGGUUUUUGAUAUAAUCAUUUCUAUUCAUUAACAAAUGGCCUCCUAAAUAUUUUAGACUCAAAUGCUUAAAAACUAUCGACAAUUAACAAAAGAUAUUCAAAUGUCCAAAAGUUAUAAAAAUAAAUAAACAACAAAGGAAUUGUAUUCAAAUUGUCAGCAUGUUUUGUCCAACACUGUUUAAAAAAAAGGAGAAUUCAGAAACAUAUUUUUUUUGAAAUUGUCCCAAAAUUUACAAAAACUUUUAGAUGAACUUUAUAAUUUUCAAAACUUUCUUGUAAGUCUUUAAAUAAUAUUCCAAGUCUUUUUAAACAUUACUCCCUCCGUUUCAUAAUAAUUGUCGUUUUAGAUUUCAUUUUUUGUUUUAAAAAAAGUGUCAUUCUGCAUUUUCAAUGUAAAUUUUUACUCUUAUUUCCUGUUUUAUUCCUCAUUUAAAGAUAAUAGUCUUUAUAAUUAAAUGUUAUAAAAGUAUAUUAAUUAGAGGUAUAUUUGUAUAUUUUCUUAAUUUCUUAAUAUGUGUGAAAUGUGUCAGAAUGACACUUAUUAUGAAACGGAGAGAGUACUAUUUUCAUAGUUUUCAUUUAUCCAAUUUUGAAGAUAAAUAAUAAAAUAUUACUCCUUUUGUUUUUUUAGAAUAGAUGUUUUAAAGAAGAAAAAAAUUAUUCCACAAAAACAGAUAUUUACUUGGAGAUUUUUGUUUUUACCUCGCUUCAUUCCUAUUUUAUCUUGUAUCUUGUUCAUUCAUAAUCAGAAACAUAAGAACAUCAUUAUCGUUGGUUUUUUGUGAGUUUCUUAUGAAUAUUUAAUAAUAAAUAUAAUCAAAUGAAAUAUUUAACUGAAGAAAAGUUUAUUAUUUGGGAAUUAUAAAAUAAGUUUUUUCUGCCACAUGUCUUACUUAAAUGGUUAACAACAUAUAAUAAUAAAAUAUAUUAGAUUUUUGGUUCUGUGGGCCACGUUUUUAAACAGAAUAUAAUAAUUAAAAAUUAAAUAAGAAAUCUAUAUGGUUUCUGGCGAUAAUGAUGCUCUAAUGUUAUUCUAUAUAGAAUGCAUUUUUAAUACGAAAUACAGAUUCGAGAUCGGAAACAAGGUGGAACGGAUAUCCUAUCCAUGGACCACCACCAUAUAAAACGAAAGAAGUAUAACACUAUAUAAAUAUAUAAUAUAAUCAACAAAAACUACUUUUCACAAUUGCCAAUUUUUCGUUAUUGCAUAUCAAAUCGGCUCGAAUGUGGAUAACAUCAACUAAUUCAGGGUCAUGGAACGUUAAUAAUCUGCAUUAUGGGUUUGAGUAAUCGUUCAAGAGAAUCGUUAUAUGGGUUCUUUAGUUUCCAUGAAUAAUGAAGUGGAUUUAUAUAUAUAUAUAUAUAUAUAUGGGUGUGUGCAACUGUGCAUAUAUAAAGAAGAUGUAGAAAGUUUGAAAUCUUUAAGAGUGUAAUAAGACAGAAAAAGCAGAGUUGCGUCUUUGUCCAUGUCUGACGAUUCUGAGAUAUGUCACGGACAAUAAUAACCCAUACACGCUAGGAAUCUCUACUCUCUAGCACAUCCCCCACACUUCUAUUCAAACACAGUUCCAAUUAUUUUCUUCUAGUGACAUAUUACAAUAUACAUACAAAUACUGUACAUUCAAUAAAAUAUAUAUAUUUUGUUUAGCUAUAAACUGAAAAUUGCUAGUAACGUUACUGUUUCAACUCAGAAGGCAAAACAAUUCUGAAGGAAAAUAGAGAAAAAACAAAAAAAAAGCGGUGUCAAAUUUUGUCAAAAUGAAAAAAAUAGUGAAGCCAGUCUUACUAUUUCCAAAAAGUAACAUUUUGACCAACAUGAAAAAACAAAAAUUCCUGGUGCUUUCUCUAGAACUCUGUUGUUUGAUUUAAACAUCAUGGUGAAUACUGGAUACUAAACGGUUGGCGAUUUCAUUUUUUUCUAUGACGCAACAGUACAUGUGAUGUUUCCUUUUGUUGUAUGAUGUUUCUUUUUGUUGUAUUAUACACAGUACAUAUAUAUUAUAGUUACAUGUUAAUAUUUGCUUGUGAAUGUGUUUUUUUUCUAUAUGCUUUAUAGCUUAGUAACGACAUGCAUUAUAAUAGUCUUGCCAAAGACUACAUAAACAAGCCUUUUAGAAAGAAAAAAAAAGAUUAAGAUAAACAAAUAUGUACUAUGCAUUAACAAUUUUAACAUAUUAUUUUAAUCCUUUGUAUAUAACUUGUUUUACUUAACUUAAUAUUUUAAAAUUUGUAUGUAAUUUUCAAAAAUACCAUGACACGUUGAAAAAUGAAAAUGAAGAUUGCUCAUAUAGCAAGCUAAUUCUAAUUUCCGUAAUAUAAAAGACUUUUUACACAUGCAAUAUAUUUUGGGCUUUGGUUUUAUGAACUAAGACUUUUCCAAGCCCAUAUGUUUCCUUUUUGUCGAUUUGAUUUUUGUAACACACAUUAUAUACUUAGCUAACUUCUCAUAAUCAUAUUACUUUUUCAAUUUUUUUUUUUAUUAUGUCAUGUCUACAUACGGUUCAAAUACAAAAAGUAGAACAACGAUUGUAAUAAGGUCGAUUAAAAAUCUGAUAUGGUACCAUAAAAAGUUUUUAGCGAGUGAGUAUGUGGACUGCUAUGGCUAAAUCAAGUGUGUCAUAUUAGGAGUUUAGGACCAAGCAUAUUGAUAUAAAUUUUCAUAAGGGAGUUGGCAGCUUCAUAUGAUAUUUAAGUAGAGAAAUGCAUACUUCGGAGAAUAUAAUUGAUAUUUUGACCAAAAUAGCUACAGCAAGAAGUUCAAGGAUUGUUUGGAAUUGUUCCAUAUCUUCCAUUGCUAAAGGAAGCUUCUAUAUUUCCUAUUUUUCUGUUUACAUCGAGUUUUGGAUUUGUAUAUAGAUCACAAACGUUUGUGAAAAUUCAUUCACAUUAUGAAUGAAAAAACCUAUAGACAAAAUGCCAGGGUACUCGCUUCAAAAAGGUUUUUUUCCUAGUUUCUACACUUUAAAAAUUCAUAAUUAUUCACCUGCAGUUAUUCACAAAAGAUUUAAUUACUUUUGUUCUUAAGGUUAUGACCUAAAUAACCUCUAAAAUGGAUAAAAAUGUUUAAACAUGAAAUAGUAAACAUGUAUCUAAAUAAAUUUUGAACCGAUUGUCAAAAUUUUAACUUAUAUAUAUCUAAAACGCGAUAUGGAACAAUACGGAACAAUAGCUAGUUAGUUUAGUCUGAUUUUUGAAAGAUCAGAGUUUGAUGCACUUACUUUUUCCUCUUGUUCCGCGGCUAUGAAUUAUAAUGUGGGAAUGUUGGGCUUUGGUUUUACGAACCAAAAACUUUUCCAUGUCCUUUCUUUUUAUAGAAACAAAAUUCGGCCUUGUAACCUCUUACAAGUUCCAAGUGGACAAUCUACCUUUUUGAUCGGAUGUCAUGACAUAGCUUAAUACGAUUAUAUAUAAAAAAUAGGGAUUAAUCUACGCUACAGCACAGAAAAUAUUUUUUUGUUCUUUCAAUUAAGUAAAAUACUUUUGUAAAAAACAGUUAUUAUUAUAAAUUUAUUUAUUAUCUCGUAUUCACAUAAUGAUGAUUACAUUAUCAAAUAUAUUAUAAUUUUUUUUUGUAAAAUAAUUUUGGUCCAGAUUACUAUUAUUUAAAAUCUAUAAUUUUAGUUCACAAAAUUUUUUAUGAUCCAGUCAAUUAAUGAAUAAAAUUUAGUUAUAUAAUAUUUUAUAAAUAAAAAUUAAUUUUAUAAAAUAUUCUAUAAUAUCUUACAAAUUAAAAUUAAAGUUUAUUUAUAUAAAUAAUUACUUAAAUAAUAAUCUAUUAAUAAUAAAAAAAAGUUAGAAUAAAUGGUUUUUUUUUCAGUACGUGCCAUAGAAACGGAGAACAACCCAAUCUAACCGAGUAGUCCAUAUAUAUUCACUCCAAAAUGAUAUUUCAAGUAUAUUAUAUUCUUAUAAAUGUUGAAUAAUAUUCUUUAAUUAUGAAAUUUACGAAGUCGACGCCACUUGCUUAUUUUUGAAGAAACUUUCAUUACUUAGUACUUACCACUGUUUUGUCAGAUCUCUCUAGUAUGAAAAAAUGUGAGUUAGAAUUUUAUAUUUUCAAAUCCGUUUAUUGGAUAAAUGUGAGACUUCUAUAUUAUUUUGCCAUCGUAUUGACAGACCCAUUUAGAAUGGAUUUAUGUGACAAUCUAAAAAUUUUAUGUGAUCAUUGUAAUGCCCAAUCCAUUUAUAAAGGAUUAAUGUGAGAAUUUUAGUAUUAAUUUGUCACUAUAUUGACACAUCCGUUUGAAUGGAAAAAAAUGUGAAAAUGUUUGAACUUUAAGUGUAUUGUAAUGCCAAAUCAUUUUAGAAUGGAAAUAUGAAAAUCCUGGAAUCAAUUUUUUUUAUUGUAUUGUCAAAUUAAUCUAUUGGAAGAAUAAUUUAUCUAUAAAUGGCUCAUGGACUUUUUUUAUUUACAACAUUAAAUCAUUCACAACAUUAGACCCAAAGUUAACAAAAUUUACCAAUAAGAAAAUUCAUGAAAAAAGCAAAAUAAAUAAAUUAAUAGAGAUAUGUUAUCUACAAAAAAAGUUUCUUAAAAAGAAAAAAGAAGAAGCAAAUUAGUGGCAACCAGAAGAGAAUAGGAUUAAAGUGUUUUUAGUGCCCUACAACCAUGUGGCGGUUAACAUCUUGCGAAUGGAUAAUUGUCAUCCCUACUUCCUUGUCUUAAAAGUGAUCUAAUAACAGUUCACAAUCAUAACUCCAUCUUUCGAACAUAUUUUAAGAUUAUCGUUGAUUUUUAGAAAAUAUAAAGAUUUUGAAGUUAGAACUGUUCGAUACCUGAUCACAUUGGUUUUUAGACAAAAAAAAAACAUUGAACUUUGUAAAGUUUGUAUAGAAAAUCUCCAAUGAGCAUUUAGUUCUCCAAAUAUUCUAUAAGCUUGUGAGAUUUCUAAUUCCGAUCGCGUUAACAACACAACUAAUAAAGUUAUAAAGAAAAUAUGACUGGACCAUUAGAUUACUGAUCGCCUUUUCAAUUUUUGCUAAACGUAUUUUAACAUUCCAUCUUGAACAAGGAAACAAAUUGCAAUAACUGUUGAACGCAAUCAUUUGGAUGUGUGUAUUUAAUAUUUAUUGAUGCGAUCAUAGAAUUAGAGGCUAAACCACGGAUCAAAGAUUAGGUCGUGAAACAAAAAUUGGAUGCGACCUUAGUCAUUCCAAACGGGCUAAUGACGAGAUCAUGCAUCAGGAGGUUGGUCGGAGCCGUUCAGAAGAUACUUGCCAAGCUCAGAAAUCAGAACAUGGAACCAGCAACAACUGAAGUCAUGACCCUUCUCACGUACCAGGGUAUUUACUGACUUCAGUCUAAUAUAGUUUUUGGUACUCUUUUUCCUUACAUCCGGGUUUGUCCCAAUGGAUUUACCGGAUAGGGUUUUAAUAAGGUCAAAGGCUAUACCAACACACGGCCGCGGUUCAGUACGUGCUUGGUUCACGGGUCAGAAGCUCAAGAGAUAUUUUUGCUUCAGCUCAAGGGUCAGUCAAAGCUAGACGAAGAGUUAGUCCAAGUUUUUCGUCAAAAUCAUUUAUUUUCUUUGUAAUUUCUUAUGCAUGACCCUUGGUCUAAUCUGCCCCUAUAUAAAGGGAUGAACCCUUCUCAUUUUCGGUCAUUCACUUUUCUUAAUAAAAUUUUGAGACUUUUCUCCUUUGUUUUUUUGAAAACUUUGUUGAUUCUCAGGUGGUUAGCCUAGAAUUAUUUUCGGUUUAUCAAGUUCAAUCCAUAAAACUUGAUGCAGCUUUCGUCUGCAAAGUUUAAAGUUUUCGUUUGUCGUAAUCGGGGCUUAGGGAUUUUCGGGAACCUAGUUCUCACGCCUUAACAUCCUUUUACCGACGAGUUCUUUUUAUCUUUGUUCCACCCCCUUGUUUCAAACUAUUCUUCGUGAGUUUGGGCCUAAGAAUUUUCGGGAGUCUUCUUUCACGCCUUAGCAUCUGCUCCAAGAGUCGUUCGGACUUAAGGAUUUAUCAACCGCCGGUCCAAGUGUGUGAAGUCCUUAGGGAGAUCGUAUCAAGUGGUAUCAGAGCCACACACUUGAAGAAUUCGGUAUUAUCUUUCUUUUUGUUUCUUUAACUUCCGCCUUAUCUCAUCUUUUUUUGUAAUCUUCCAGAUCUAUUUAAAAAAAAAAAUAGAAAGAAACUCUAUUAAAAAAAAAAACAAAAAUUAGUCAAAAAAAGAAAAAAAAAGAUCUGUGAACUCAAAUUCUUUUCUUUCUAUCUUCUCGUUUUCUUCUUCAUACUCGCUUGAUUUUCUGAUUUGGUUUUGGAUCUACAUCGGUCUCGAUUUAGUUCCUUUAGAACCGAAGAAAGUCUCUUGUGUGUGUGAAAAUAUUAAGAGUGCUGAGUGAAACACUGAGUGAAACACCAAGUGAGGAAUUUUAAUACUAACGUGUUUGUUCUUUUUACGAGGUACCAAUUUUUAUGUCAUCGGGUCCUUAUUCAGACUCAGGUGGAGAGUGGAACUACUACACCUUUCAUGACGGGAACCACAUUCGUUGGAUCAAUCCGGAAGAAAUGGAUGCCAAGCUCAACCAAAUCACCGAACUGAUGGAACGUAUGAACCAGCGAAUGGAUCGGCUGGAGAUGCAGCCACGGCAAUCCGAUGGAGAACGAAGUAAUGGCCGAAUCCGUGACGAGCCAGACCAUCUAAGGAGAGACCGCAAGCAAGAGGAAGUCCUAGACAAUCCCUUUUACGCAGACGGCCACACAUCUGGAGGAAGCCGUACUAGACCGCGAUAUCAUCGAGGCGUUCGUCGUGAUUGGGCAGAACGACGCGAGCCAAACCACGGGUCCGACCGCGGUCGAGAGGAUCAACACCAUGGACGAUACCCUGCGGCCCGAAACUGUGAACCAGCUGAUCUAUAUCAGGAGCCGUACCGCAGACAAGAACGGUGUGAACCAGAUGCAUCUCGAGGCCGACCUGAUAACAACCUUGGCGGGCUGAAGUUGCGAAUACCGCCCUUUUACGGGAAGAACGAUCCUGACGCUUACCUGGAGUGAGAGAAAAAGAUUGAAACCGUGUUUGGUUGCCAGAAUUUUACAGAGAGAAAGAAGAUCAAUCUGGCAGCUACAGAGUUCCACGGCUAUGUUGUAGAUUGGUGGGAUCAGAUCGUCACCAACCGGAGACAGAACGGGGAUCGACCCAUUGAGACAUGGGACGAGAUGGUGGGUCUAAUGCGACGACGGUUUGUUCCAAGCUAUUAUAACCGGGAACUACACAACAAACUUCGGCGAUUGACCCAGAGCACUAAAAACAUUGAGGAUUACUACCAGGAGAUGAAGCGGCUGAUGCUCAAGGCUGACGUGGAAGAACCGGAAGAUGCUACUAUGGCGCGGUUCCUCAGUGGUAUGAACCGAGACGUGCAGGAUCGUAUGGAGAUGGAGACCUAUCGGAGUUUAUCCAAUAUGUACCAUAAGGCCAUACUUGUAGAACAGCAGUUAAGGAGGAAGAACACUGUCCGGUAUGGAUCCAGCUCACGGCCCAACGACAAACCGAGUUAUUCUUCCCGAUCCGAUGCCAAGCCUAAGACCGAAUCUAAGCCGACUUCAUCCACAGCCGAUUACAAAGGCAAGACCGAGGCUACACCAGUCAGGAACAGAGACAUUGAGUGCUUCAAGUGCAUAGGUAAGGGGCACUAUGCUAACAAGUGUUCGAACCAGCGGGCCAUGCUACUUCUUGAUUCCGGAGAGAUCAUCAUCGACGAUGAAGAGGACACCAGACCGGUCUAUGAUGGCGAGGAGGAACACGCAGAUGAGGGUGAGUUGCUUGUUUCCAGGCGUGUUCUUAUUUCCCAGGAGCCGGUUAGAGACGAUGAGCAGCGGGAGAACUUGUUCCAUACCUGAUGCUUGGUCAUGGAUAAGGUUUGCAGUUUGGUGAUCGAUGGUGGAAGUUGUACCAAUGUAGCAAGCCAAACCAUGGUUGAGAAGCUGGUCCUAGAGACCAUGAAACACCCCCAGCCUUACAGUUUGUGAUGACUGAACAAUCAAAGGCAACUCAAGGUGACUAAGCAGGUAUCAGUUCCUUUUUCCAUUGGCCGCUAUGAAGACAAAGUUCUGUGCGACGUGUUACCUAUGGAAGCCGGCCAUAUUUUGCUUGGUAGACCGUGGCAGUUUGAUCACAAGACGGUCCAUGAUGGCUACACUAACAAGCACACAUUUGAGCAUAAAGGCCGGAAGAUCACACUUGCUCCUUUGUCACCGCGGAAAGUCUACCUUGAUCAGCUCAAACUUGAGCAAAACAGCAAAGGUAAAAACGUUCUGAGUGACCCCUCAAACACUACCUCCACUAAAAAUGAGAGUGAGGAAAUGAGAAAAACCCAGCAAAUGGCCUUUGAGAGUAAACCCGGGAGGUCAAACACUUCUUUAUUUGUGAGGCCGAGUGAGAUCAAACAUGCUAUGCUUUUAAGACAGCCUUUUGUCUUAUUUGUUUUUAAAGAAGGUUUGGCUAGCACUACUGACCCUAAGCUGGCCCUUCCGAGCAGCAUUUCUUCUGUCUUGCAGGACUUUGCCGAUGUAUUUCCGGAGGACGACCCACGCGGCUUACCCCCGAUCCGAGGGAUCAAACAUCAGAUCGAUUUCAUGCUUGGUGCCUCACUGCCAAACCGUCCUGCUUACCGAACCAAUCCGGUGGAGGCUAAGGAGCUGCAACGGCAAGUCGACGAGCUUAUGGCCAAGGGUUAUAUCCGGGAGAGUAUGACCCCAUGUGCUGUACCCGUGUUGCUGGUGCCAAAAAAGGAUAGAACCUGGAGGAUGUGCGUGGAUUGCAGAGCCAUCAACAACAUAACAGUUAAGUACCGCCAUCCCAUUCCGAGGUUACAUGAUAUGCUAGACGAGUUGCAUGGGUCUUGCAUAUUUUCUAAGAUUGAUUUGAAAAGUGGAUAUCACCAAAUCCGGAUGAAGGAAGGUGAUGAAUGGAAAACGGCUUUCAAAACUAAGCACGGUCUUUAUGAGUGGCUAGUCAUGUCCUUUGGUCUUACCAAUGCACCUAGUACUUUUAUGCGUCUGAUGAACUAUGUUCUUAGGUCUUUUAUAGGUGUUUUCGUUGUAGUUUACUUCGAUGAAAUUUUAAUUUAUAGCAAGACCUUAGAGGAACACGUUUUGCAUUUGAGAAAGGUGUUAGAUGUGCUUAGGCAAGAAUGGCUGUUUGGAAAUUUCAAGAAAUGCUCUUUUUGUACGGAUAACGUUGUCUUUAUAGGCUUUGCUGUGAGCUCGCAGGACAUUCAGGUCGAUGAAGAAAAGAUCAAGGCCAUUCGGGAUUGGCCGAGUCCAAAGACGGUUGGAGAAGUCAGGAGCUUUCACAGAUUGGCUGGGUUCUAUCGACGGUUGUCCGAGAUUUCAGUACCAUAGCCGCACCAUUGACCGAGGUCAUCAAAAAGGAUGUGGGCUUCAAGUGGGAACAGGCUCAGGAGGACGCCUUCCAUCUUCUAAAACACAAGCUUACUCACGCACCCUUACUUGUCUUACCAGAUUUCUUUAAAACCUUUGAAAUUGAAUAUGAUGCAUCUAGUGUAGGUAUCGGGGCUGUGCUGAUGCAGGAGAAGAAACCAGUCGCGUUCUUUAGUGAAAAACUGGGUGGAGCCACUCUUAACUACCCAACCUAUGACAAGGAGCUCUACGCCUUGGUCUGUGCACUCCAAACUUGGCAACAUUACCUCUGGCCGAAGGAGUUCAUGAUUCACACAGACCACCAGUCUCUCAAGCAUCUUAAGGACCAGCAGAAGCUGAAUAAGAGGCAUGCCCGGUGGGUGGAAUUCAUAGAGACAUUUCCGUAUGUUAUCCAAUACAAGCAAGGCAAGGAAAACGUCGUGGCCGAUGCUUUAUCCCGGAGAUACACACUGAUCUCUAUCCUGGACGCCAAGGUCCUUGGUUUCGAACUGAUUAAGAAAGCUUAUGCUUCUGAUCCAGAUUUCCAGGAAGUUUACGAAUCCUGUCUUAAGUUUGCUUCGGGAAUAUAUUUUCGGAAUGAUGAUAUCUGUUUUAUGAGAAUCGCCUUUGCAUACCUAACGUUUCUCUUCGUGAUUUACUUGUUGGGGAGGCUCAUGGAGGCGGUCUUAUGGGACAUUUUGGAGUAACUAAGACUCUGGCCGUGGUACAGGAACACUUUUUUCUGGCCACACAUAAAACGAGAUGUGGAACGGAUCUGCAGUCGGUGCACGGCCUGUAAGUACGCUAAGUCCAAAAGCUAAAACCAAGGUUUGUACUCUCCUUUACCCAUUCCUAUUGUACCUUGGACCGACAUAUCGAUGGACUUUGUGUUAGGUCUGCCUAGGACUAGACGUGGUAGGGACUCGAUCUUUGUUGUGGUAGAUAGGUUUUCGAAAAUGGCACAUUUUAUACCAUGCCAUAAGACCGACGAUGCAUCAAAUGUUGCUGAUUUUUUCUUUAGGGAAGUUGUGCGUUUGCAUGGAAUGCAUAGGACCAUAGUCUCGGAUAGAGAUACAAAGUUCCUUAGCUAUUUCUGGAAGACCCUCUGGUCUAAAUUAGGAACCAAGCUUUGUUUCUCUAUGACUUGUCACCCACAGUCCAACGGUCAAACCGAGGUGGUCAAUAGGACCUUGUCUAGUCUUUUGAGGUCUGUGAUUAAGAAGAACAUUAGGACUUGGGAAGAUUGUUUACCCCAUGUCGAGUUUUCUUACAAUCAUGCUGUGCAUUCUAGUACUUUGUAUUCACCAUUUCAGCUUGUAUAUGGUUUUAAUCCGCUUACUCCUUUGGAUCUCACUCCUUUACCUUUGAGUGAACGUGUAAGUAUGGAUGGCAAAAAGAGAGCUGAGUUGGUUAAGCAGAUGCAUAAGAAAGCCAAGAUGAACAUCGAGCAUAAGACGGAGCUGUACCGAAAGUAUGCCAACAAAAAUCGGACUGAGAAGGAGCGAUUUCCGGAAGAGAGAAAAUCCAAGUUGCUGCCAAAAGUGGACGGUCCCUUCACCAUUUUGGAGAAGAUCAAUGACAACGCUUACAAAAUUGAUCUCCAAUGUAAGUAUGCUGUUAGUUCCAGUCGGGGGGGGGGGGGGGGAAGAAGGGAACAUGGAACCAGAGGCUGAACCACGGGUCAAAGAUCAAGUCAUGGAGCAGGAACCGGACGCGGCUUUGGUCAUUCCGGACGGGCCAAUGACGAGAUCACGCACCAGGAGGUUGGCCAGAGCCGUUCAGAAGAUACUUACCGAGCUCAGGAACCAGAACAUGGAACCAGCAACAACAGAAGCCAUGACCCUUCUCACGUACCAGGGUACUUACUGACUUCAGUCUGGUAUAGUUUUUGGUACUCUUUUUCCUUACAUCUGGGUUUGUCCCAAUGAGUUAACCGGAUGGGUUUUAAUGAGGUCAAAAGCUAUACCACCACACGGCCGCAGUUCAGUACGUGCUUGGUUCACGGGUCAGAAGCUCAAGGGGCAUUUUCGCUGAAGCAGCUCAAGGGUCAGUCAAAGCUAGGUGAAGAGUCAGUCCAAGUUUUUAGUCAAAAUCAUUUAUUUUCUAUGUAAUUUCCUAUGCAUGACCCUUGGUCUAAUCCGCCCUUAUAUAAAGGGAUGAACCCUUCUCAUUUUCGGUCAUUCACUUUUCUUUAUAAAAUUUUGAGACUUUUCUCCUUUGUUCUUUUGAGAACUUUGUUGAUUCUCAGGUGGUUAGCCUAGAAUUAUUUUCGGUUUAUCAAGUUCAAUCCAUAGAACUUGAUGCAUCCUUCGUCUGUAAAGUUUAAAGUUUUCGUUUGUCGGAAUCGGGGCUUAGGGAUUUUCGAGAACCUAGUUCUCACGUUUUAACAUUUUCUUACCGACGAGUUCUUUUUAUCUUUGUUUCACCCCUUGUUUCAAACUAUUCUUCGUGAGGUUAGGCCUAAGGAUUUUCGGAAGUCUUCUCUCACGCUUUAGCAUCUGCUCCAAGAGUCGUUUGGAGUCAAGAAUUUAUCAACCUUCGGUCCAAGUGUGUGAAGCCCUUAAUAAGAUCGUAUCAUUUAUUUAGUAGAUCUGAGUGUUUCUUGAAUUAUAUUUGUCCAUAAUCCAAAAAUGGAACAGAGGAAACAGCAUGACACGUAAAGUAAUUAACUUUCUAUGUAGAACUAGUCUGCUCCAUGGAAGUUUGCUUCGGGUAAGCAACUCAAAUAUUACUUAUACUUUAUGCGUUUGUUAGUGGCAAUCAAAAACAAACUAAACUUCUUCAUGCUUUGUGUUUUUCCCUUUUACUUGUAUAGUUCAUAGAUCUGAUAAGUGACACAAAGUGGUAAAUGAAAAAAAGAGAACAGUAAAUAGUACCAAAAAUACUUAAAGAAGAAAAAAAUAAUGAUACAAAAAGUUGAAAAUAUCGUUUUUGGUACGCUAGUUCUUACUGUAUUUGUGAUUGUAACUACUGAAUUGAUAGAGUCCACAGUAUGAAAUCAGUAAAUUACCAAUUAAACAUUUGUACCGCACUGUGUUCUCUCAUUACUGAAAACUACUCAUUUUAUAUAUAAAUAUAACUGAGAUUUUUUUUACCGAAAUCUAAAUUAAUUUUUUAAUUUUUAGAUAUAUAAAAAAAUUAAAUAUUUUAGUUAUUUGAUGACAGUGACUAACAAUAAUUGGAAUCAAGGCCGACUAAAAGCCACUCCAACCAGACAGCAAAACACUAAAUUUGGUGUUAAAAUUACUCCAACCGAAUGGUAUAUGAGACGCUAUAUUUUUGUUUUUGCCGUUUCAUGAACAGUAUCACACCAUAUUUGGUAUAACACUCUUCAUCACACUAAAUAUUAAAAUAUUAUUAUUUUUAGUUGUUCUAUUAUAUAAUAUAAUUAGUUUGUUGUUUAUUCAUUGAUUAAAUAUGUAGCUAAAAAAAAUAUGACAUUGAUAUUUUUGUAUAAAUCAUUUUAAUGAUACAAAAAUUUAUUUGUAACAUAAUAUUUUUUCCCUCAAAUAAGAAUAUUUUAAAUAUAUAUAUACUUUUAUUUUAUUAUUAAUUACAAAGAACACUCAUUAUUUCUAAAUUUAUAAAUUAUACACAAAUAUUUACUUGUUAGUUUUGAUUUUUGGCUUUAUGGAUAUGUUCUACUAAAUGUUUUAAUGGUUUUAUAGAAAAACUUUAAUAUACCACACUAUCUCUUUGUGUUAACUUUAUUUUUUUUAAAUAUAAUUUUAAUUACAUAAUUUAAAUAUUUGUUUGUUAGUUUUGACUUUUGGCUUUAUGGAUAUGUUAAACUAAAUGUUUUAAUAGUUUUAAAGAAGUAUUUAAUAUACCAAACUAUCUCUUUGUCUUAAUUUUAUUUUUUAUUAAAAUAUAAUUUUGAUUACAUAAUUUAAAUAUUUGCUUGUUAGUUUUGAUUUUUGGUUUUAUGGAUAUGUUGUACUAAAUGUUUUAGUAGUUUUAUAGAAGAAUUUUGAUAUAACAUGUUUUGGUAUAAAACCUUAUAAGAAAUUUUAUAAACUUUUAUAAGAAAUCUUAUAAAUCUUUAUAAAUAGUUAUUGAUCAAUACUUAAAAAAAAGAAAAUUUAAAUAUAAUAAUAUAACAAUAAAGAAUAUUCUUUUUAGUGUGAAAUAUAAUGUUAUGGUUGGAGAUAGAAAAAAAAGUAGAACACUAUAACAUCAAAUUUGGUGUUAUUUUUACACUAAAUUUACCGUUUAGGUUGGAGAUGAAAACCUAAACGGAUCAGUAUAGGUGUACAACCUUCUAAAAAUAAAAAUCGGCUAUGUUUAUAAAUCGGUUUCUUUUCAUUUUACCAUAUAUUUUGCAACCUUCUUAAACUCAAAACCUACUUUGAUUGAUAACACAUAGAAAUACUAGAAUUUCGAUUCAUCCAAACCUCUCUCCAACACUAAAAGCAUAUGGUAUUCAACUGAGAAAAAACAGUUGGACGGUGUCGCAAUUAUUUACUUGACUCAAUAUGAGUCAUGACUAUAUGCCUUCUAAACGUAGAUUCUUCAGAAAAGUCAAUUCACCGCAGUAAGAUUUGGUGUUCAAAAUUCAUAAUAAGAAAAUUUAGUUUAGUUUUUUAUUUUAUUUUUUAAGCUAUGAAAAAUUAGUUUUUAAAUCAGGAAACUUUGGAAUAUAAAUAUAAAUAAAAAAGCCAUAGUUCAGAUUUUGUCUAUAUAUUUAAUAAAAGACAUAGUUCAGAUUUUAUUUAUAUUUUUAAUUACAUACAUGCAGAAGUCCUAAUGACCUUAGGAUAUGAUCUAUAGCCUGACUCGCAAUAACACACGCCACGCUAAAUUAAAAGUUUGAUACGAGCCGUGUGAACUAACUAUGAUUUAUUAUGACCACUAAAGUAUGAAAAUUAUGUUCCUUUCUAGCAAAUUUAAGCCGUUAAUCAUUCAAAAAAAAAAUUAAGCCGUAAAAUAGAAUGAAAAUAGCGUAGAAGAUAAUAAACGAAUAAUUGGCACGACGUUAAGCGUAACUUUACAUGGAAUGAUAGGGAGAAAAGUAGAUUUCACGUCAAUUAUUUAUAUUUUUUUCCUUUUUAUUUGCUUUGCUUUAGUGAUAAUUCACAUUAACUGGUAAUACACACCAUGUGAGAAAUGUUCAAAAAGGAACAGAGUAGGACAAGCUCGAAAGAUAAUUGUUUACCUGUCAUUUGUCUUGUCGCACUUUCUAAUUGUAUUUUGAGAACUCUAUUAUUAUUUUAUUAAAAACACUUAUCAUCUAAUUAGUCACUGUUAUAUUACCAAAAUUAGUUUAGUAAUAGACUAAUAGAAUAAGUCAAGGUAAUACGUCUUGUGCGCAAAAUUGAAAAUUCAAUCAAAAUGAUCUUUUCAAUUUAAAACGUCAGUCUCGUAAUUGUCUUUGUCCUACAAUUACAUUGCCACCAAAUGUAGUAGAUGUAAUGCAGGACAACUCGUUAAUAUUUUAUUUCUAUUUUACUUAUUUAAUUUUUAUAAUUCAACCACUAAUUACAACAAUAGAUUAUUCAAGUGAACGAAUCAAUUUAGAAUCAUUGAUUGAAAACUGCGAACGACACGGCCGGUUGAAACCUGAUCCACAAAUUGUCCCAAACAAUUAAUAUUUUGAACCAAUCUAUAAAAAUUAUUAAUGCCUUCGGGGGGAGACCAAUCAAUUUGAUUUCUCGUUUGAAUAAUGUAGAUCGGUUCAAAUUUCUUAGUUAAGAAAAUCAAUGAAAUUGGAUAAAAAUAAGAAACAAAUACUCCCUCCAGAUUUAUUUAGUUGUCGUUUUAAGGUUAUGCACACAGAUUAAGAAAAUAUUAAUUGUAUUAGUUUUUCAAUAUAAAAACAUCAUUAAUUAUUUAUUUAAACACAAUUUAACUAAUAAUAAAACAAAUUGCAUAAUAAAAAUAAUUAUAAAAAUUAAAAAACUAAUAAAUGUUACAUUAAAAACUGAAAACGACAAUUAAUUUAAAAUAAACAAAAUUUUCUAAAACGACAACUAAUAAAAAACGGAGGGAGUAAUAAUUUGUAACAAACUACAAAAUAAUGAUUAUAUAUAUAUAAUUUAGAUAACAAAUAAAUUUUUGUGUUCUUCAUCUUCAAUGAUGAUAAGAAAAUACGAAUAAAUUUAGGUUACUUCUUUUUUUAUGUGGGUAGCUUUGCAUCAUCCAUGUAUUACUCCAAUUAUUAAUUUUCAAUCGCUCUCAGUGCAAAAAGUAUGUAAAUAAAAAAGUAUUAACAGAAAAUAUCGAAUUGUUUUUCCUUUCUCUAAAGUACUGUCUAAUCAGUGACAAAAAAAUACAUAAGAUAGACGUUUAAAAAAAAUACACAAGAAAAAAAUAAAAAAAUUUAUGUGAUGCUCAACCCUAAAAUACUAAUGCAGGUGAUAUGUAUCUGAAAUUAGCAGCCUCUUAAAUUAAAAAAAAAUCUAGAUUUAAACAUUGAUAAAGACAAACUAACAUAUCAAACAAAAAACAAUUACACCACAACAAUCUAAAUCAAAUAAAAUAAAAAAGACUGAAAGAAGGUUGGCAAUAGGACCCACAAAACACACUGUCAGAAAAUCUUCAGAGUUUCAGAGAAGAAGAAGAAGAAAGAAAAAGAAGAAUCAAACAGUAGUAAAUCCCAGGAAUAUUAUAUUUUCUUACCAAAUCAAAAAACCUAUCUCUUCUUAUUCUUGUCUCUUCCAUUUCCAGAGAAUAUAGAUCCUAAACCAAACAUAUUCCCAGAAGGGACCAUGUUUAUAACCGGACUCACUCUAAUCCCUCCUCCAUGGCUUCCAUAACUGUAACCUCCGUAAUUUUUCUUCAAUGGCGGUUUCUGAAAGCUACUGUUACUCGAUGUAGAAGAAGAAGAUGAUGAUGAUGAUAAAGACGACGAUUGUUGUAGCUUUAUAUGCUCUGUUGUGUGUUUCCUCGAGCUCUGUUUCGGUUUACUCGACGUAGAACCGGUCGAAUUACUCCGGUUUAGUAACGGUAACGGACAUAGACUCCGUCCGUAACUACUUCCACAGUUUAAACUGCUGCUUCUCUUAAACCCCCAAAACGACUUCGUAUUGGGUUUCUCCUCCGUUACGGAGACGUCAUCGUCUUCUUCAACCGGUUUCCUCUGUUUCCUAAAAUCCGGUUUAGUCGGUUCGGUUGGACCGGUAUCGGGACCUUUCUGACCCGGAUUGCGUUUCUCGGGCGGUGGCGAUUCGGGUUUCUUCUUCUUCUUGAUUUCUGUUGGCAAGAUUUGUCCGUUACGGAAGAGUUCGUCGGCGGACCAAGAGCCUUGGUCGAAGCUUUCGGCGGAGUUUACGCCGCCGGGAAUGCAGAAAUCGAAAUCGAUGCUUGAAUUGAGACUGGACGGUUUCGAAUUCGACGAUCGUAAGGGACGUUUCUCGAUCGGAAUUGCAUCGGAUUGACAAAAGUCACGAGAAAAUGAGAUUCUUGGACUCAUAUUAGAAUUUUCCGAUAGAAGAUCCACCGCCAUUAUAGCAAAACGAACAAUUUCCGAAUUCUGAGAGAAAAGGAAGAGACUUUCUUGAAUAUUGAUAGAAAGAUAGAGAGACGUGGAGAGAUAUUUGGGGAAGAAGGUGAAGGUGGAACGAUAGGAAGGGUUAGAAUUUAAUUUAUAUUUUUUACAAGUGAAUUAAAUUUAAAUAAGUGUUUUGAUUUUGAUUUAAUAAAAUGGAAAAUAAAUAAAAAGAAUUUUCGGGUGAAAGAAAUUGAAAAAGUGAAAGGGAAGGAAUAAAUAAAGAAAUGCUAAUAGAAGAGGGGACAGAGAAGCGUGUCUCUUGCUACAUAUUCACAUGCAUGGGCCAAAAAAGGAUAUAUGUUGGUUCUUCACUUUGUACAAUUUUAUUUUCUAUGGUAUAAUUUUAUUUGAUGUAUAUCUUUUGAAAAUUCUUUUAAGAGAGGCUAUUUGGAUCAUUGAUCUGGGAAGAUAUGGAAUUUUUUAUAAAAUCCACUCUUAUUGGAUGUCCAAUAUUUCAAAAAGAUAAUGCAUUUCGGAAAUCUCUUCAUGUUAUAGGAUAUACCAUGUCAAAUUAUUUUACAAUAAUAUACAAUCUACCAUUAUUAUUUUGAAAGUUUAUAAACUAACAAAAAAAAAUCUAGGGUUAUUGAAUCAUUUCUAACUGUAAAUAAAGAGUCUGAAAUUUUUCAAAGAUUUGAAUAUAUGUACUUAUAGUUAUAUACUCAACCCCUUGAAAAUCUCUAGAAAAACUGACUUUUUUGGAGAUUUUUAGAAAUAAUAUUUCAAAUUUAUCAUUUUUUGUUGACUGAAUUAGGUUUACUGGGUACUAUAGAUGGGAGAUAUAGGUUUUUCCGACUCUGAUACAAUGAAAUAUAUUUUGAGACUAAAUUUUCUUUGAGUAUAUAUAGCUUCAAAAUAAGAAUGAUCAACUGAAGAUACCUUGAACAAAUGAAUGAAAAAAUGUAGUAUGUAUUUAUUUUUUAUGAUUCUCGAUGUUAACAAUGAUUUUGCUAAGUCUUUUGCGUAUGGGGAAGAUGCUUCUUUCAUCGAUCCUUCUGCUUUUAUAGCAUUCCAAAACUAAUUUCUCCGGUCAUUACAAGAAUUAAAUUCGUAUUAAUUCUUUCGAUUUAACCGUUCCCCUUUUUUAUUCUUCGGGCUUUGAACAAUUCUUGCUUUGCGAGGUAAUCAUCUUCUUUGUUUCUUUUGGUAUUUUUUUUUUUUAUUAGUCCACUGAAUUUGGAUGAUUUACUUUAAUUUAUUUGUGUAUUGUUCUCUCUAGGCUGUCAUGGAUCAGGUUCAUAGUGAAAUCCAACACUAAAAACAACGAUAUGAUCGAAAUUUUGAGAGCAGGUAGAAGAAUCUCUAAUAAUUUCAAAUAUAAAAUAAUCCACCAAAACUUUAACCUGGUUUGUAGCAAAUAAGUUUAGAGUGAGAUUAAUUCUCUAAUUGUGUGAGUUCACCACAGCCAAAAAAAACAAAAAAAAGAGCUACAUCCCCGUUAUGAACUUUUUUUCCUUCAGCAAAGGGGAAUCAAAUAAAAACGACUAACUUUUACAAAAAGAAAAAUACGGUUAAUACAAACACUACAAGAAAACAUUACAUAUUCCUACCAGAUAUUUCAUCAGAAAAUCGUAGGAAACCGGCUUUUCCUAUCAAUUUCCUACCAAAUAUUUUUGUAGGUUCUAUGCCGUCAGAAAUUUUCAAAGGUAGAAAAAUCGUAGGAAAUUUCCUACGAAAAUUUUGGUAGAAAAAUUUUGGCGGUAGGAUAUUCGUAAGGAAAAUACCUACCAAAUUACUUCCAUCUUUCUACGAAAUAUUCCUAUCAUUUUCCUACCACUUGAGAUUUUGUAAAAAAUAAAAUUAAUUUUAUAAAUUAAAAAAAUUAAAUUAAUUUCAGAAAUUAAAUUUAAACUAAAAGAUGAAUUAACUAUUAAUUCGAUUAUUAAUAUAUAUAUAUAUAUAUAAACAAAUUAAUUAAAAGAGAGAUGAAAAUCUUAUUUAUAGAAUAGCUUCAUCAUCCAAAUUGUCUCAGAUCAUCGAUGUGGGACAAAACCAAAGUUGAAAUGUUCCUACAAAAUUCCUACGAUUUUUUUACACAUAAUAUUUCGUCAGAAAUUAGUAGGAAAUUUCCUACGAAAUACUUACUAGUAUAAUGGUCAAUUGUAUCCUAUUACUUUCCUUUCAAAUUUUGACCGCGUGGUAAAUUAUUGGUAGAAAAUAUCCUACGAAAUUUCGACAUAAUUUUUGGUAGGAAAAUCCCUACCAAUUUCUUAUCACUUUUACUUUUUGUCAAAAUUACGUAGAAAAUUGGUUAUAAAAAUUUCUUACCAAAAAUUUCGUCAAAAUUUUCAUAGGAAUAUGAGAUGUUUUCUUGUAGUGAAACAAUUUAGCAGUACAAAUACUUGAAAUCUACAUAAACUUAGUCGGAUGUUAAAAACAAACAAGAAAAAUUUUUUAUGUAUAAUAUCUCAUACAAAAUACACUGCAUUUUUCUGAAAUGUCCUUCCAAAAUUGCACAUCGGUUUUUGAGUAAUUGGAGGAAAUAACAACAUGUUACUUACAUAAAAAAAUGUUUAGUUUUUGUCAUUUGACAAACUCGCUCUUGGUUUUUUUUAGCUCACAAAAAGAAAAUCAAAAGUUACAGAAAAUAUUUAGAUCGUAUCAAAACCCAAUCAAACCCAAAGUCAAUAAAAGUAAUCUAAAUCCAAUGAUAAGUCAAAAAACAUAUGUGCAAUGUUUGAAAUGUUUAGAGAGUCAACGUUGGGAUUCGUGUUGACUAAUGUGAUGAAGCAUUGAACAUAGACCAAUGGUGCCAAGUCACCGACCCGAGACUUUAACCAUACUAAAGUUUCGUCACGAACUCUAUCAAGUUAAAGAAGUGCAUUCACAUAUUUUAAACCAAAUCAAUGAUGCUUUUACUAUGGUGUACUAGGAAAUGCUACAUUUUAAAGUAUUCCUGAUGAACAAAUUUCAAACGAACACAUGUCUCGCUUCUACAUAUCCUUAUAUGUUGCUUGCGAUAACUAUAACCAAGUAAAAACAAAUAUAUUAGGUAAUCAGGUAUUCUAAAUGCUAGAAAGAUUAGUUGAAAUUUUAGCAAAAAAUGGUUAGAUGAUAGUAUAAUUCUUAUAAAGUAUAAGAAUAAUAAAAAGAAAAAACACGGUGGCAUUGUUGAUACUCCCCAAUCAAUACGAGCAGACACAUAUCAUAUAUAUAUCAAAAUUCAAGAAUAUAUAAGAUUUUAGGUUAGACCAUAACACAUAUGCGUUGUUAUCCACUUUUGUAAGUUGAAUAUGAAAUAUUUAUCUGGUAUCCUUUUACAAAAAAGAUUAAAAAAAAAAUGAAAUUCAUGUAUCUGAUCUAAGAUUUCGUUAUGUUUUUUUUUUUUCAUUGUCACGAUUGUAUCUUCAUUCCUUUUAAAUUUAGUGUCUACUUAGUUCCGUUGUAUACUUCUUAUACAUACCACUUGUAAAGCAGUGACAAAACCCUAAUUUCUAGUACUUAUAGUCGAAAGUAUACUUUUUCUUUUAAAACCAAAAAUUUCUGAGUCUAGACCCAUAAUAUUUUUGCCGGGAAUUAGACCAAGUUAAUUUAGUCUCUUUCCCACCGUCAAUUCUUUGAACCCAAAAAAAUGGGUUAGUUACCGAAGGCGGAUUAUAUUCAACAAUUAAUUCAAAUAUAGCUUCCUAUUUCAAGGAAAGAAAUAUUACUCAAAUAAAAUGAACUUCUGUGUAUUCUAACUAGAUGGGUCUUUAGUGAUAGAGAAGUCCAAACUCCUUCAUUUUAAUGAAUCAGACGAAUCAUAAGAGUUUGCUUUUAUAAAAAAAAAAAGAGCUUGCUUUUCAUCAAAAUAAAAAUCGAUUUUUGCUUAAAGUGAAAGUAAAGAAAUUGUUUGUGUGAUAGAAAGAAAAGAGAAAAGGAGAUUUCAUAUUAUCUAGAGAAUGAUAAGGAAAUUACAAAACAAUAUACACUUGUGAAUUAUAUAUGAAAACAGAAAAACAAAGUAAGCAUGGGCAUGGGUCCGAUGGCUACGUACUUACCGAAAACGAAGAAAGCCACUUAGAGAAACUGAAGGGUUGAUAAAUGGUCCACGUUUUCCCCUAAAUCCUUUCUUUUCAUAACCAUUGGGUCGCCCAUGAGCCCACCUAAAACCAACCCGACCCGAUUAGAUCCAACCAAGAAUUGUCUACUCUUCUUGAUCACUUUGCCUAUUUUGGCUGCUCUCGGUAAUAUUAACAAGAAGUUGUCCAAUUCGGUUAGGGUUUGGUUAUGAUGACAGAGAGUAAAAGAUGGUCCUGUCCGACAAAUAGCAUUGGUGCUGUUUUGCUAACAAGUACCGAACUGCUUUGUUCAGACCAAAAACAAAAAAUAAUCAAUCUGCUUUGUUCUCUACAGAAAUUGAUUAUAAAAGCUGAAAUGGUAAAAAAAAAAAAGUUGUUUCCCUUAAGUCAUGAAAAGAAGAAAUAUUGUUUUUGGUUCCGUUUGAUUUAUCAAUCAAUAUGGCCUGAAUCAAUAUGACCACUGAGAUAAUCAUCCAAAUCCAGAGAUAUGCAUGGUCGUCGCCCUCGUAUUAGAGAGGGUUGUGUGCAUGCUCAUAGGCUUACUUACAGUCCAAUUGACCUCACCAAAGUGAUAGAUUCCUUUCCCAAAAUCUUUUUGUGAAUAUGAAUAACAUAUUUCUUGAUGAUUUUUUUAUAGAUGCAACAGUAAAAAAUCUGUCGGAGGAUCUCUCGCCUACAUUUUAGUUUGCAUAAAAAAUGUGAAGUUUGGUUUACAUUUAAUGUAUACGAUUAUGGAUGUGGAUCUAUCGAUCUGUGUAUGUCAUUUUGAUGAUUCUUGGACGAGUGACGGUGCAACUAGUGGUUCUUGAUGGAUUAAUGGCACAUCCAGUUUAUUGGGUGAAAUCUCAACACCUUCAUCUUUAAACUCCAUAAAUGAUUUGGACAAUGAAAUGUCAACAACAUAAUCACGAUUUAUUUAUAUUUUGUGAAGGUUUUUAUAUGAUGACUUCUGCACCAAAGUUACAUGAAUUAGCCAUGAUUAUUAAGUUUUUAUCUAAAAGUUACAUGAAUUAGCCAUGAUUAUUAAGUUUUUAUCUAAAAGUUACAUGAAUUAGCCAUGAUUAUUAAGCUUUUAUCUAAAAGUUACAUGAAUUAGCCAUGAUUAUUAAGCUUUUAUCUAAAAGUUACAUGAAUUAGCCAGGAUUAUAAGUUUUUAUCUAAAAAUGAGUUAAUUCGUCAAUUACAUAUACAAACAACGUUUAGGCAGAUUUCGUUGCUUCAAUAAUUAAAACGUUUAAAUUCUAUUUCGUUGCUUCAAUAAUUUAAAACGUUUAUUCUCUUUAGUAACUUUAGUUGUGAUGCAUCGAACUUUGUUUGUAUAAUAAAGUUGCAUAUGCUUGUUGACACAAUAUUCUCAGUUUUCUAGCAUUGAUAAGCAUUUGUAGACGAUCAAAGAACCAUGUAGGAUACAAAUUAGUUGUCAAUAAUCUAAAAUACAAGUUAUAAUGACUUUGUACCUUACAAUCUUACACCACUUAUACAUUACAAUUCUGUUGGUCCAAACCACCUAAGAAAGAAAAAAAGAAAAGAUGAAGAUCGUUAUACCAAACAAAAAAAAACCCGCCAAUUUUCUAAAUUAACCCUUUUUAUUAGUAAAGUUUUCUAAAAAUCAACUUUUUUUUUGUCAACAACUAAAACCAAUCUUAGUCAAAUUUUUGAGUUAUCCAAAAGAAGUCGACAUUUUCGUUAGUUCCAAAAUAGCUCAAACUUUAGAGUUAUCUAAUUUUUUUGAUGAUACUACGUAACAAGUUUAACAUUCAAAAAUUACUCUAAUCGAAACAAACUUGAAAGAAAAAAACUGCUGUGGAAAUAAAUAAUACGCGUUAUCUUGAAAAAAAUAGGAAAACUAAACGCGCGAUUUGGUCAAUGUGGUCGUGGAUGGGUCACCUAAUCUUUUUAAUUUCCCUCUAAAAAAAGAAGAAAUAAAUUUUCUCCCAAUUUCCUCGAAGAAGAACAUUAGAAAAUAAAAUGUCAGGAACUGAAAAAAACUACGAAACCAAUCAGAUUCGGCCAUUUCUUUCCCUCUUUUCUUUUUUCUCCCAAUCACUCUUCAGAUUCCGAAAAAAAAAGCAAACAAAGAAAGAAAAAAUAGAUUCUUUAUCACCGGAGUUUUCACCGGACUCUUAAAAGAUGAAUACGCCGAACUGGGAACUCCGGAGUUGCUGUAACCGAAACCAGAACACGUUCCUCAUCACCAUCGGAAUCUUCACCGUCGUUAUCCUUGUGGUUAGUUUUUCCCAUCUAAUGUCCUUGAGAGAAAGAGUUUAAAGUUUUGACCUUUACUUGUUUUCUUCGAUUCAAAUUGAAGAUCCGACAAAUUUUUUUGUAAAAGUUAGUUUAAAGGGUAUCUCGAUUGUAGUGUUUUAUGCAACUGUUGACUUAUAAUUUCAUUCAAAGUUUGUGACUUUUGGCAUCAUAAAGUUUCUAUAUUUGUUCUUGUUUCUUAAGAUCUUCACAGAGAUUUCUUGGUUUUGUUUUUAACAGCUAUGGAGGACAUUUCUAUUGACUCCAUUUAAACUAAUCACGGUGUUUUUGCACGAAGCGAGUCAUGCUGUUGCUUGCAAGCUCACAUGUGGAGAUGUAAGGAAGCUCUCUCACUUCAACUACUACUUCAAUGAAACUAAAAAAGGUUACAAAACUGAUUUUAGGUGUAAACCCUUAAUUCAGUUUGUAAACUUGAAUUGUCCUUUUGAUUUGUUAAAUUAUACUGGUUGAUUUGUGAUCCACUUUGCGAGCAUAACAUCUCUUUAGAUAUGCACAUUUACCAGUCGAAAGGUUUGCUUUAGCAUUGAUGUCUCUGCAUUUUCUCUGGACAUGACUGUUUAGCAUAGAGUGGAUUUUAGCAUCUUGAUUCAGUUUGCAAACAUAAACCGUCUGCUUCGAUAUGGAAAAAUACACUUGGAACUCAGACUAAUUUUAGGUUCCUUGAAAGUUUAAAUGCGGUCGGGGUUCGCUUUGAAUAGGCAGAGAAGAUGUUUUUGUUAUCAUCCACUACUCGCAUGGCUUUCUUUAGCAACAAUACCUUGUGUAGAUUGCUUUAGCAAUGUUUGUCUUUGGAUAUGGCUGUUUAGCACGAUCGUAAAGUUGGCAUCUUGAUGUCGAGUUACGAUAUCCUUAUUUAUUGUGCCAUUCGCUAUAUUCCUCAUUUGGUAAACAUUGUUUUAUCCUCACUUGUAUAUGAUUCUCGCUCUAUUGCUAAUAUGUAAACUACUAAUAUACGAAUAUACGUCAUUAGUCUAAGAAGCCAAGACACACAGUUAGCUCAAACCUUAGCUUUAGGUCGACCGUAGCGUAGGACUAAAUGUUAACAGAUUAUAGCUGGCUGCUGGUCUGAGUUUGUGAGAAAGCAGUUAGUGAAAGCGAAAUCUGUAAAGAUGUCUCUGCAGAUUGUUAAGGCUGUAGAAUUUAUAGAAUUUGAUUGGGAUUCCGGAUGAAAGCCUUUUCAUUAAUAAGUUUCUCUAGUUGGUGAGUGUUAUAAGAAUAGCAGUGUACAGCUUAGCUCUUAUCAUAGUUCCAAUAAUGCAGAAAAGAUAGUAGAUAAGUUACACCGCUCAGCCCAAAAAAAAUCUUUGAUUAUGUAUUGAUUGCACAUUAUUUUCAUCAAAUGCGUGCAACAUUCUCUAUGUUAAUCUGCAACUUCAUUUUUUCAGUUUGCACUUUGCACAGUCGCAUAUAAUAUGGAUAUUGUGUGCCUAAAAACAAAUGUGGCUAAUUUUUGUUUGAACUUAAUCUUCUUCGUAUUGAAUCAAAAAGGUGGAGGGGAUGGAGGUGAAUGCAAAUGAAGGAGGUUCCACAACAACACGUGGCGGCAUCUAUUGGCUGAUCUUACCUGCUGGCUGUAAUAUACAAUCUGUCUAUCUCCCUUAAACAAAUCAACCAUUUUCAAAUUUGGACCUUCCAUUGUUGAUGGCUAAAAGUGUUACAUAUAUAUUUGUUGUAAUGGUUAUAGAUCUUGGCUCAUCAUUUUGGGGAAUGGCUUUGAUUCUUGCAUCUACUAAUCUGCUUACAGCAAGAAUAGCUGCUGCUGGUCUCGGUCUUGCUUUAUUCAUCGUCCUCUUCAUUGCCAAAAACGUAAGUAGAAUUCAUUUUUAUCUCAUUGAGGCAUUGACAUCAAACCAAUGACAUCCAAAUUUUCAACCUUGACAGUGGACGCUUCGAGGUCUUUGUAUAGGUGUGCUAUCUCACGGUUCUUCUUGUUAAAUUUUUCAUUUUUUAGUUCUCAAAAUGAUAGUUGACAAAAAGAUUCUAACAAUCAGUGAAAAAGUCUCUCAGGUUUCAUAGUUUUCCUCGCUAUCAUAUGGGUUCUACAAGAGUUAACUACAGUAAAAAUUCUCCGUUAUGUCAUUCUGUUCAUCGGUAAAUGAACCUCAUUUUGUUCAGUCUUGUUAACAUGUUUGAGUUUCAUCUUCUCCGUAUGAAAGCCAGAUUCUUGAUAUUGCAGGUGUGAUGAAUAGCUUAUUCUCAGUUUACGGUAUGUGUUUCCUUUUCUCUCCCAAUAACUUCACUUAAAGUUAUGAACUUAUGAACAAGAAAGAAGCCUCAUUUGGUUUUGUUCUGCAAUGGCUAUUAGAUAUCUACGAUGAUCUGAUAUCGCGAAGAGUCCAUUCAAGUGAUGCUGAGAAGUUUGCAGAGAUCUGUCCUUGCUGUACUGGUUGUGGCUGGGGUGUCAUAUGGUGAGACUUUAAUCCAAUUUUACACACAAAAAACAACAAAUCUUUGUUUUUUCUUUGUUUCUGACCAAAAAUGGUUUUGAUUUUUCAGGGGAAUGAUAUCUUUUGCGUUUCUUUGCGCAUCAUUGUAUCUUGGGCUAGUGAUCCUAUCAUAAAAAGGUGUUCUUUUGGUUUUGGCUUUCUUGUUUUUUGUUAAGCACAUUUUUGCUUUUGAAUUUUGAUUAAGCGUUUUCAUGAUUUUUGUGAAUUUUUGGUGUCUCUCAGGUUUCAAAUUCUUUCCAGUGAACUGCGGAGUCUCCUUUCUUUCAUCUAUGCGCAGUUUUUUAACAGAAAACAUUUUUUUGAUUAAAAAGCUUGAUUCUUUAGAUCCCUUUGAUGUAUUUACAUUUGAUUGAAAGUUUAGGGUUUAUCAUUUUUUUUUUAUUCAUUUUGGAGUUUGUGUUGAAUAGAAUUCAUUGAUUGUUCUGUUUUAAUGCAUUGUAAGUCCGUUGAUCUUGUCAUCAAAACAAAACUCCGUCGACUUAUUCCUGUAAAUGGUCAUAGUAUCCUCGAUUAGACUUCGUCCUUUCUUCCAAAUUGAUACUUAAACACCAAAAUCUAUUAUAUAAAGACUCAGCUGAGUCUCACAAACUUGACACAUCAGCUUUCGAAAAAAAUAAUUUUCUCAAUUCCAAAAAAAUCUAAUUUAUCAGCCAUGACACAAGUACAAAUCUAGUUUCUAUCUAGAAAAGUCAUUCUCUUACAAUAAAAAGGAAAUGCAUUGAAUUUAUAGUGUUAUUACUUUGUAAACGACACCCGAGAAAAUUGAACGAGGCUAAAAUAAAUUCAUUUUUAUAAAAUGGAGCGGCAUUCCACCUAUUUUUCAUUUUUCUCUUACGCGCUUAAAAAGCUCCAGAAAUCAGGUAUAGCGCAACUGCAGUCACGUUCAUAACCAACAUUAGAAAAGAAUUAAGGUCUUGAAAUAACAUAUCCAAAAUGCAUAUUUCUUGUGUUAAUUUUGUUUUAGUGAUUGUGGUUUUUAGUGUUUCAGAUCAGAAAGGCGAUCAAAUACAUGGAUAUAAUCACUCUACUCUACGUGUCUACGAGGAGGAAAUGAUAACCAAUCCUUCUCUCAUAGAAAGAGAGCUAGGAUCAAGCUGUAUGUAGUGUAAUUACACACUAUAUAUAUAUAUAUAUAUAUUCAUUCCUAUUUUAUGUAUAUAUAUAAGAAAAACUUUAUGUGCCAUUAAAAAAAUUAUUUCUUGUUUCCAUAUUAAUUUAGAGUUUUAUAUGAUGUUUUUUGUUGUUCGCAAAACAUUGAAAAAACCAUAAAUAGUUUGUUUAUUGCAUGCAUGAAAAAUUAUGAUAUCUUUGUAUGCGUAAUGCUCUGGUGCCUAACAAUAUUAUUAGGUUUAGAGCAGAUGAUAUAACAAACGAAGUUGAAGUUUUAGAGGCAUUUUGUCUUCUGUUCAAUUUCUGUUUAUAGUUUUCGUACAUCUUAUAUAUAUACAUAAAACUGACAUAUAGUGAAUGCUUAACUCAAUCUAAAAUCAGUUAUAAAAUUUUCUUACGUAGCGCCUUAUUUCUCUGUCACAUAGACAAAAUUCUUUGUGUAUCAGGAGAAUGUAAUGCCCAAAUUUUAUCAUAUUUACUUUAUUGACGUCCGAACUUUAUAUUUUUAUAACAAAAAAUGAAUAUUUAGAAAGAAAUUAUUGUUUUUAAUAUUUAUUACCCUAAGCAGAACUCAAAGGAUUUGAGAUGAGAUUUAAAGCUAAGCUGAAACAAACAAACGCAAUAUUUUGUAUUUUAUUGUGUGUCUUUGAGUGUACGUAUUUUGUUAAUUUUAUUUCAUUAGUAAAAAAAACAGAAAAUAUAUAAUAAACAGACAGAUAUAUGUCUUAUUUUAAAGAGAUAACAAUAGAAAGUGAUUUGCGAUUACGUAAUUCUAUCAUGAUCUAGAAAAUUUAAAUUCGCACAUAUAUAUGUAUAUAUAUUAUUGAUCAACUUAACUAUUAUAUAUAUAUAAAUUACCGCGUGUACACGCGAAGUUUUAUCUAGUUAUUGUAAUAGUUGUGUACAAAAUAUCAUGGUGUAGAAAAUAAUUGUUGUAGUUAAAAAUUCAAUAAAAAAAAUAAUCAAAUUCUAUUAUAUGGAGGAAAAAUUUCAUAUUUUGUACUCUUAUUAAAUUUCAUAAUAUUUAAAAGUAAAUUUCCAUUUUUCUUCAAAAUUACAGCGAAUAAAUCCUAACUUUUUUUGUUUGAUAGAUAAGCAAUCUUUUUUGUCUGAUGGUAUAAAGAGGUAUAUCGUUUGGAAUCUUCCGAGGUUCAUCUUGCAUUAUCUUGGUUCAUCUUCCAAUAUAUCUAUUGGUUUGUAGAUUAGGUUGAAGAAAAUGAGAAAAAUUUGUAGUAAAACCUUUCUUUGAAUAUUUCUGUUAUAACGAAUGCGAAAAAAUGAAGUUAUAAACAUAAGGAACACAACACAGAUUUAACGUGGUUUACCAACGAUGUGUUGGUUACUUCCACGAACAAAAAAACCUAUUUAUUAAGGGAGGCAAAAGGUUCAGAAAACUCUGAUGAAGGUUCUGAAUCAUAAUCGGAAUACAUCAGAAUCGGAAUACAUCAGAAUUAGGUAUCACAUAGGUAUUAUAACUACCUAGUUAACCCUAAUCAUUUUUGGACCUGUCGUUCACGCCUAUGUAACGUCCUUAAGCUGAUAGCUUCGACCCAUUACUCAAACCGACAAUCUGCAGUAAGCUUCGUAGCUUACACCUCAUCUGAAAACAACUCCGCAGCUUACACAAUCUGUAACCAACAUCUUCUACAGUUUGCUAUGUAGCUUGCACCUUCCAGAGGUCACACUUUCCGCAAGUCGCACCUUAUGGAAGUCGCACCUUACGCAAGUCGCACCUUACGCAAGUCGCACCUUACGCAAGUCGUACCUUCUGCAGGUACCUUCUGCAAGUUGCACAAUCUACAUUAUGCUCUGUAGGUCCGCACCUUCUGCAACUUGCACCUCUCACAGUCUCAGAUUUAAGGCACAUUAACAAAUCUCCACCUUGUCUUGAAUCGUCCAAACAGAUGUACCAGAUGCACUUUUACAGUGCCAGAUGUACCGAAUUUUUCAUUUGCCUCACACGUUUGAUAACACCUAAUUUUGACAUAUUUUCACCAUUGAUUUCAAAUGCUUUUUCAAAGGUUUUAAUCAGUUUUAGGAAUUUUUAUUAUGAUUUCCAUGUAUUUAUAGUUUCAAGACUUUUUUCAGGAAACUUAGGGAAAAUGAUGGCAAAAUGGAAGAAAUCCACUUUUUAAAGCUCAGAGUCAGACCGUCAGAAGUUCAGCCUCAAAUGAAGACUUUUUCAACGUCUGAUCUAGUUCAAAUUUGGAGACAAUCAAGAGGAGACAACCAGAUUUCCAUAGCACUUUACAUCACAAAGAUUCAAUUGUGCAAUCAAAAGAUACAUGGAGAACAAGCUGACCCAGUUUACCAGUCCUGGAAGACUCUCACCCGCGGCAAAAUCAUGUUUUACCUGCCCUGGAAGACUCUCACCCCCGGUGUACCUUAGGACGAGCCACAAGGCCCAACAUCAAAGCCCACUUCGCCAUUCCUCUUUAGAGAAGCCCUAAAUGAGACCUGGAAAAACUUAGGACCUAUAAAUACAUUGUUUAGCGGCUCCAAACAGGUGUGUGCUCCUGUAAUGAGAUUUUGAGCCACCAAAAUCUGUUUCUCUAGGGUUAGGCGAUGGAGAUGGGGAUUCUUCCCCAGAUCCAUUGUUCUUUCUCCUUUCAAUUCUACUAACUUUUCUGUUUCACUCUUUUGCAUUUUUCUAUGUCUUUUAUUAUUCCUUGCAUCAUGUAGAUCUGUCCCAGAGAGUCAAGUUGUUUUAAGAGUCAUCGAUGAUCAUAUAUAUCGAUUAGGAUUUCUAUAGUUCUAAACCAUAUUCUGGAUCUCAUCUCUUCUAAGUUGUUCAUAUUGCAUGAGAGUAGAUUCAUGACCUAUUUUCUGAGCCUAGGAUCGAUCAGAGCCAUGAGAGUGUUGUAUCAGAUCAUCCAUACCUAGCUUCAGAAGAACAUAGUCGCUAUAGGAGUCGAAAGCUACCCAUAGAGAAGAUGUGAGCAGACGAAUUCAAUGUCUAAUGCAUGAUCUUAUUUCUGUCAUGAGAGCGAGAGUUAAUUGUCAUAUCUAAGUGAUUAGUUGAUUAAGAUGACGAGAAUUAGUUAAUCAUACAUAUGUCUAUUGUAGUUCCAUGCAGAUUCCUAGAAACAGAUGAAGAUAAAUCGCCCGGAAGCUAAUUGUAAAUGCCACCAUACAUCGAUUAUAGUAAAUCGGAGAAGUCUAAAUUGCACCCUAUGAGUUUAAGAGUAUUUAGUUUGAGUCGAUAUGCUUGAGAUAUGCUUGAGAUAUUCUUUUAACAAUUCAUCAUGCAUUGCAUUUUAUCUCUUGUGAAUAUUAGAUUAGGUUUAGUUUAGGACUUUUAACUAAAAACCCCAAAACGUUUAUUGGUUUAUGAUUUUGCUUACUUCCCAGUUUGUUGUUUCUUGCAGAUUAGACAUUCUCCCUAUGGAUCGACACCCUAAGUUCUACAAUCUGUGCACUUUCAGAUUUUAGGGUUUUAUAAAUUUAAAACUUUCUUUAUGGACCAAUGAGCUUGUAUGAAAAACAACCCUAGGCCCGUAGCUCAUCAAAGUUUUUGGCGGCGUUGCCAGGGAGGUUCUUAGUCGCUGGAGGUCUAAACCUAGGAGGUUGAAGCCACAAAAGACAAUAUAUAUGUCGAGUUUCUGCCAAAAAAUCAUAGGAAGUAAACCAAACUCAUAAACACCCUAACUUUUUUUUUUUCUGCUUAUUCUCUCUUCUGUUUGCCCUAGUUUCAGAAAUCUUUGAAGCAUGGAUCAUCCAAGAAGAAAUCCUAACCCUGAUCGAAGGUUUUGCAACUUGUGUGAAGCUCCCUACGCAUGUGAAUCACCUUCCAGGCGUGAUUCCAAUCAUCCAGUUCGGCCAGAUCAUCCGAACCACCACCAUGGAAACUCGCGACCUCUACACCAUCGAGAUGAGCCCUUCACCUGGUGAAUCGUCGACCAUCUCAUCCUCUUUCUCAUCAGAUUAUGCACCAGAACUAUGAGGAUAAUCUGUUUAAAAUCCUGCUAAAUCGAUUGGAAGCCAAGCUGAAUCAGUUCCUUGCCUCCCAAGCCAUCAUCGAUGCUGCCCUGCGAACAAGGAUAGAUGACAUGACCGUCGACCUUAACAAAAGGUUUGAUGACCUCUCUGAGCAUGUGAAGAUACUGGAGAUCAGAUAAUCAAAGAUAAUGACGUGUCGAACCAGAGAAUGGAGUCUGUCGAAGAAGAGCAGGACAAAAACAAGUUCAACAUUCGACAAAAUGAAAGGGAGCUGCAAACCCUAACUUUCAAGAUCGAUGACUUGGAUAAGGAACUGAAUGAGAGCAAAAACCAGACCUACGACUACACAUUGGAGCUGUGGCAGGGCGUAGCUAAGGUUGAAAACAAGACAGAAGAGCUUGAUGCUACUCUAGACAAAGUUGUCUAUGCUGUAGAUGAAGUAGAAGAGAAAGUUGAAAAACUUUCUAAAGAUCAUAAGGAGUAUGAUCUGAACUCUAGAAUCAAUGAUUUGGAUACCCAAGACGUGCCUAACAACCACUGGAAGCAAGAGAACAAUAAUGGAGAAGAAGAGAUUUAAGAAGAAAGCAUAGAGAGCCGGAGGAAGCUGACCGCGGCUGCGAGUACUUCACCCGCGGCCAGAGCCACUUCCACCGCGACUCCAAGCUCCUCACCCGCGGUAGAGCAUGAUUUCUCAGAUUAGGAGAACUUCCAACCUCUUUCUGAAACCUGUUCAACUGCAGACCAACCCCUUGUGACCAGAUCUAGGUUGUUUGAUCAAGUUGUCUUCUCAAUCACUGCACAAGCAUCAAAAGAAAAGGAAGAAUCCAACACUUAUGAAUCUUGCAACAUAGUUUACACUUGUGACAAUGAGCUUCAAGAGCAAUUCUCAGAAGAUGAAGAGUAUGGUUUGUUUGUUGAAGAUCCAAACUAUGGGGACAAUUCAUCUAAUGACAACUCAGAACCAAUUACCAAGAGCAUAUCCAGAGAGAGACUGAUUGAAUUCAACAAUUUUGUGAAGUCCAUUCCUCUCUACCAUGGUUUCGACGACAUCUGGAAGCAAGGCUGCCUUCAAGUUUUUUUUUCAGAUAUAGCAAGAAGACUAAGGAGAACGUCUACACUUAUUUCAGAAGAGCCAGGUAUCUAUCUUUUCCUAGAUCAUCACCUGAUGCAGCUGUUUACAUGAUCCAUCUCAAAGAUCCCCACGAAGCCAUUGACUACACAAACAAGAUCAACAAAGAAGCACUUGAAGAGUCAAUCAAGUAGUUCAAAGCCUCCUAGAAGGAAUUUCAUUUGCCAAAGCAUGUAGAGACUACAUGAUCGGCCACUUCUUCUAUGACAGCAAAGAUUCUAUUCAAGAGAUGAAAGACUUGUUCACACACGCCCAAGAAGGUAGACCAUUUCGAAAUCUGCACAAAGUUCAAGACAAAGGUCAAUUUCUUAUAUCUUGUGAUAUUAGAGGUGAAAGAUUUCUCAAUAUUCUUUGUGAUUCUGGAGCUUGCAUUAACAUGAUGUCCAAAGCAACUGCUUUGAGACUUGGCAUUAAGCACAUUUCAAAUACCAUGACAAAGAUUAGCUUAGCAGAUGGUUCAAGUGCAACACCAAGAGGGAUAUCCCGAGAUAUUCCUCUAAGGAUUGGAGAUUGCAUUGCACCUGUCGAUCUAUACAUAGUGAAGACCAAAGAUGACUCUUAUCCACUUAUCCUUGGAUGGUCUUUCUUAGCAACUGCUGGAGCCAUCAUGGAUUGGCCCAACAGGAGAUUUUAUUUUGCAAAUAUCGACAAGGAUAUCUUCUAUCAAGCUACACCACUUAAGAGCAAAGGAGAAAAGCAGAAAGCCUAGGCCUUUGAACCAGAAGAAAUCUGGAGUGAUGAAGAACCUGCAAGACAGAAGAGAAGGAUUUCGAAAAGGACUUGUCUUAGGACAAGAUCCUAUUUGAGCUAAGUCUUUUUCUUUUGCAAGUGUAGCUAAGGACUAUAAACCAAAGCGCUUGAUGGGAGGCAACCCAUUUAGCUACUUAUUUGCUUCUGUUUAUCUUUCUUUUUCUAUUAAAGUUUUGGUUUUUUUAUUUUAGACAGGCCUUAGUAUGCCACAAAAAAAGGAAGAAAAAGAAGAAAGAGAGCUGACCGCAGCCAAAGGAGGUUCAACCGCAGCCAGCAAGCAUUUUGCCGUGGCCACGAAGCUUUGAACCGCGGCCAGCACCACUCGGCCACCCUUGGCCAUUUCCACCUCUACCUUGAUUCAAAUCCAUCCAAGUUGGAUCAAGCACCACUUCACAUCAUCCACCAUCCACCAUUCAAUAUCCUACCACCUCCACAACCACCUCAUAAUCCAUCACCACACCAGGUAAGUUUUCUUUUCCUUAAUCUUUUUAAAUUUUUUCACAUACUCUAUUUCUCAUCCUUGCCUGAUUUAUUUCAUACUGGGGACAGUGUGAUUUAAGUAUGGGGGAGGAUUUCAUCCCUUUCUAACCACUUUUUCUUGCAUGAGCCUUUGCAUUCUGCAUUUUUCUUUAAAAUUUUUCAAUUUUUUUUUCGAUUUUUCACAAAACUUUUCAAAAUUCUUUUGAGUUUCAAAAAGUGUUUUCAAAGGUCAAAUACAUUUUAAGGGAAUAAUGACAAAAUCGAUGAUGAUAACCAACCUGUUUGCUUCUACACCAAUGAUUCAUAAAAAGCUCUUUCAAGGUUUAGUAUUAGACUUGGCGGUAGCUGGAGUACUUACACUACGAAAUCCUACCAGAAGACUUCUAUUCAUGAAGAUAUUUUCUAACAGGAUAUUCUAGCUCAUCUUACUUGGACUUAAUCUUGACAUCUAAUUUUCUCAUCAAUGGUUUUAAGAAGGCAUCAUGAUAUACAUCUAGGACAUCUUUAUCUUAUUGUUACCACUCUUUGUUGUCCUAGAUGGCCAGUUCAUCUUUAGCUGGUACCUCACCUUUAACCCAAACCUUUAUGUUCUAACCUCAUGCAUUCUCUCUUAAGUAUAUAUUGACAGAUAUGUGCAAAAACGCCGUAGAGGGAGGAACAACAUAGUUUUCAGUCAUUCAUGAGAAAAACUGAAAAAGACCAGAAGGGAGUGUGCCAGAAAUCUUAUGAUUCCUCAGAAAAGCUCAUUCUUAUAAGUAAAUUUCAUGCUUUUUAAGAUUAAGUCAAAAGGCAGUUUCCCCUUUCCCAAAAAAAAAACAAAAAAAAAAAGAAGGAAAGGAAAGAAAACCAAAAGCCUAAAGAGUCUUAGAAGCCGAAAUCAUUUGAGCCAAGGCAAUAGGUAUCCACCUAAGGAGUUAUGGAUUCACAACCUAGACAAAAAAUCCAAGUCUGGGGGAACUAUAAGGAGAACCUGAAGAAAGGAGAUCAGAAAUCUUAAAGCAAAGAGAAUGUGACUGAAACAGUGGGGGCAUUUACAGUUCCAUCCUCUCUUGCUGUUUUGCAUAAUGUCUUGUCUCUCCAGAAAAAGGUAACCCUAAACACAUCAAACCUUACCAUUAAAAAGCCUUUUUGAUACCUAACCUUGAAUGCCUUGUUUGAUAUCCUUUUGAUGAGAAUCACUGAAACCUUUAAUAAAUGUUAAGAGCUAGGUGACUGGAAGUUAGUUCUAAGUGUGUGGAUUUUUGCAUGACGGAUUAACAGACUAGUUAUGUUUGUAUUUUGGUGAGAAUUUUCUAGACUUGAUCUGAUUGACGCAUUGUCCAUAAUUAAGGUCUAGAAGUAUGGUUGCUGAUAUUUUUGAGUUCCCUCUCACUUUUGUUGAAUGAUAUUUUUCCAGAUUUGAUCUUGUUUUGUUUGAGGACAAACAAAGUCUUAAGUCAAGGGGGGGGGGGGUUGAUACCACACCUGAUUUUGACCCAUUUUCACCAUUGAUUUCAAUGCUUUUUCAAAGAUUUUAAUCAUUUUUAGUAAUUUUUAUUAUGAUUUCCAUGUAUCUGUAGUUUAAAGGUUCUUUUCAGGAAACUUACGGAAAAUGAUGGAAAAAUGGAAGAAAUCUACUUUUUUAAGCUCAGAGUCAGACCGUCAGAAGUUCAGCCUCAAAUGAAGACUUUUUCAACGUCUGAUCUAGUUCAAAUUUGGAGACAAUCAAGAGGAGACAACCAGAUUUCCAUAGCACUUUACAUCACAAAGAUUCAAUUGUGCAAUCAAAAGAUACAUGGAGAACAAGCUGACCCAGUUUACCGGUCCUGGAAGACUCUCACCCGCGGCAAAAUCAUGUUUUACCUGCCCUGGAAGACUCUCACCCCCGGUGUACCUUAGGACGAGCCACAAGGCCCAACAUCAAAGCCCACUUCGCCAUUCCUCUUCAGAGAAGCCCUAAAUGAGAUCUGGAAGACCUUAGGACCUAUAAAUACAUUGUUUAGCAGCCCCAAACAAGUGUGUGCUCCUGUAAUGAGAUUUUGAGCCACCAAGCUAUGUGUUAGGCGAUGGAGAUGGGGAUUCUUCCCCAGAUCCAUUGUUCUUUCUCCUUUCUAUUCUACUAACUUUUCUGUUUCAUUCUUUUGCUUUUUUCUAUGUCUUUUAUUAUUCCUUGCAUCAUGUAGAUCUGUCCCAGAUAGUCAAGUUGUUUUAAGAGUCAUCGAUGAGCAUAUAUAUCGAUUAGGAUUUCUAUAGUUCUAAACCAUAUUCUGUAUCUCAUCUCUUCUAAGUUGUUCAUAUUUCAUGAGAGUAGAUUCAUGACCUAUUUUCUGAGCUUAGGAUCGAUCAGAGCCACGAGAGUGUUGUAUCAGAUCAUCCAUACCUAGCUUCAGAAGAACAUAGUCGCUAUAGGAGUCGAAAGCUACCUAUAUAGAAGAUGAGAGCAGACGAAUUCAAUGUCUAAUGCAUGAUCUUAUUUCUGUCAUGAGAGCGAGAGUUAAUUGUCAGAUCUAAGUGAUUAGUUGAUUAAGAUGGCGAGAAUUGGUUAAUCAUACAUAUGUCUAUUCUAGUUUCAUGCAGAUUCCCAGAAAAAGAUGAAGAUAAAUCGCCCGGAAGCUAAUUGGAAAUGCCACCAUACAUCGAUUAGAGUAAACCGGAGAAGUCUAAAUCGCACCCUAUGAGUUUAAGAGUCUUUAGUUUGAGUCGAUAUGCUUGAGAUAUUCUUUUAACAAUUCAUCCUGCAUUGCAUUUUAUCUCUUGUGAAUAUUAAAUUAGGUUUAGUUUAGGACUUUUAACCAAAAACCCCAACACGUUUAUUGGUUUAUGACUUUGCUUACGUUCCAGUUUGUUGUUUCUUGCAGAUUAGACAUCCUCUCUGUGGAUCGACACCCUAAGUUCUACAAUGUACAUCUGUGCACUUUCAGAUUUUAGGGUUUUAUACAUUUAAAUCUUCCUUUAUGGACCAAUGGGCUUGGAUGAAAAACAACCCUAGGCCUGUAGCUCAUCAACGUUCCAAAAUGCACUUUACCGUGCCGGAUGUACCAGACGUCCCUUGUAUCAGAUGUACCUGAUGCACGCUUGCCAGAUGUACCAGAAUUCCCUUCUAUCAGAUGUACUAAACGCACCAAUAUUAUGCCAGAUGUACCAGAUGCACUCUUACUGUGCUAGAUCUACUUGGUGUUAAGUAGAACAGGUGUCUCUACAGACCAGACGUCCCUUUGGACCAGAUGUUCCGUCGGACCAGACUCCACUGCGGACUAGAUGUUAUUUCAGACCAUACGCCUCUUCGGAUCGGACAUUGUUUCGGAAUAGACGUCCUUUCAGACCAGACGCCUUUUACCAGGCUCAUAUACUCCUCCAGAGCCAGAUGCCUUUCACUGGGCUCAGAUGCUCCUUCGAGCCAAACAACCCUCACCGGGUUCAGACGUUCCUUCAAGCCAAACGUCCCUUCGGACCUGUAGUGUAUGAUCCACCAUAUCUUCGAAGCCAUAUAUCUCUGUGGAUCCAACCUCAUUCCUUGUAAGCUGAUCAUGACAUGUACUACGGUGAAUAUUCUCAGAUGGUGUCAGUUCUGACAGAUCAAUUUCUGUCUGUAGCUCUUGAAUCUCUUCGUGUAGCUCAGAAUCAGUCUCGUCACGAUAUAUAUACAAAUCCACCUGCAUCUGUAACUCCACCUGCUUGUCAAAGCUACUGUUCUCUGUAGCAGCUGUGGUUAAAGGUUCAUCUUGGAACCUUCUUUCUGAAUCAACAUUAGAGAACAUGCACUUCGUUCUCCGCAGCAGCAUCUGAUUCAUCUGCUCAGAUACACCAUUCGGUUGUGAUGUAUCCGUAACUGCAUGAUGUUGGACAACUCCUUCAUCCUUGCAUAGCUGAUUGAGCUCUAAUGAACAGAAUUUCUCACCUUCCUCUGACAGAAUUUGCACCUUCUUUUCACCUAUACGACCAAAGCUCUUAUGCCACAGCUUUGUUAUAUCUUUGUGGUGAAUUUCUGAAGAUGCAACAUUCACAGAACCUGUAGCUGUGGAACCUCCACCCAUACCCUUGUGCCCUCCUCUGCUGCAGGUGAAAUCACCUUCAUCAUCCUCAUUUUCAUUCAAUGGAGCCGCAAAUCUCUAUGACAGAUAACAUCUUCAACUUUCUUUUUCAAUUUUAUCGAAAAAUGUGAGAUUAGACGCAUAUAGAAUGGGAACCAUCUCUAUAAAAACAAUAGAUUUUUUUUAUGAAGAGAUAUCUGAUGUCCAAUAUAAUUUGUUGUUAUAAUUUGUAUCUAGUUUUUUUGUUAUCAAAAUGAAUGUUCAGAUGAGAAUAUUGUAAAUUAAUUCUUAUCAUGAUAUUUUGAAUAGCAUAUGAUUUUGAUUAAUAUUAAUUAAAAUCAUUAAAUUGAAACUAUAUAAUAUUGAUAAGAACUUUAAAAUUAAUUAUCUAAUGAUACAUAAUUUUAGUUAAAUUUUAAAAUCACUUAAAAUGCAUAAACUAACAGUACCCAACUCAAUAUAUCUUGGUGAAAAGGUUCUUAUGUAAAAGUCUAAUUAUAUAAAAAUUAUAGUAAGGAAAAAGAAUGUGCGUUCUUUCAAAAAAAAAAAAAAAAAAAAAAAAGAAGAAUGUGCAGUGAGCAAUCAUAUAUUCCCUUUAAAUAGUCUCAGUACUGUCAUUUUGAGUUUACCCUCUGUCUCCCCUAUUUUUUAUAUUUACAGUUUUUUAAUAUUAGGUUUUUACUAAAAUAAAAAUUUCACAUCGUGAUUUAUCAGAUGGAUCCUAUCCAUUUCUCAAUUUAAUAAAUAAUAUUUCUUAAAACUUUUCUUGUCUUACUAUAUUCUCAGCAUUUUGUAACACUAAAUAUUUAAAAUGCAAUAUUUAUAUCUUUUUGGACUUUACAUUGAUAUAUAUAAACUUUCGAAUAUUAUUAUGUUAGAUACACAAUUUCUAACCAGAGAGGAAUUUACAUAGUAAAUAAAAUGAUAUUUAUCAUAUUUUUGUAAUUCUAUUAGAAUUAUCUACAUUUUUAUAUGUGUAAAGCUCAUAUAAUUGGUUUUGCAUUCUUAAUGAAAGUUUGUUAAUAGAACUAAUAUAAUUAUAUCAUGGAAGAAAAACUAAUAGAAUUUAUUUUUAAAAAAUGAUAUCAAUCUAUCAAUUUUAUUGGGCACUAAAACAUUUAGGGUCCUGCCAUUGACCAAUACUGUCUACCUCCCAUAUAUCUACCAUUAAGCCAAUACAAUUAUUUAAACACUUUUGUAGAGAAUUUUUUUCUACAUUUGAUAUUUAUAGAAAGACCUAAAAAGAAAUAAAAUCUAUACUUUAUCAAUAAUAUAAUUCUGAAAGGUCGUUUUGAGAUAUAUGUGAUAUAAUAUUAUAAUAUUUAAUUUAUAUAUGAUAUCUAAACUUUACCAAAUACUAAAGUUUUAUAUUUUGAUUAGUCUACAUUGAGAUUACAUAUUGUUUCAUUAAAAUAUUUUAUUUUUAUUUUAUGCUAAAUUUAUAAUCAAUAUUAGAGCAUUUAUUACUUGGUCAUAGGUUUUACUAGAGUUGAAUUUCAUAAAAUAUUAAAUUUGGUCAAAUUAAAAACAUUUGACUCAUUUAGAAUAUGUAAAGAGUAGCGAGCCAAAAGAAGUUGAACUUCUCAAAUAUAAAUUAAAUUUUCAAGCGCAAAGCUCAUGGUACAAUCAAGAAUCUGAAUAACUUUUGAAUGGCCACAUUAUUGUAUAUGAAUUACAUACAUGUAUAUGUAUGAUAGAAUAUAUAUAUAUAUAUAUGUUUUCUUGGUAGUGAAUGAGAGGAGGAAAAAAAAUAAGAGGAGAAACAAUGAGAAAAAGAAAAGUUCAUAAAAACAAAAAUCACAAAAUCAUAAAGUUUUUUCAUUCUUAUUGUUCUGCUCUUAUAUUUUUUUCCUGUCUCUCAUUCACCACCAAAAAAACACAUAUAUAUAUAUAUAUAUUUAUGUAUUUUUGUGUAGCAUUUGACCAUGCCAAUCCGAAAUGCUAAACAAAAAUAUAAUUUAUUUUUCCAGAUUACAGGCCAAGAGAUAGUAUGGAGAUAUAUAGAAGGCGAUGGUAUGAGGGUUACAAAAAUAUUCAGACUAUUAACUCAGAUUAAAAAUUCUGUGAGAAGAAAAUUCAGAUAUGAUUCCAGAAUUAUUUGUUGAGAAUCAAUCCAAAGUUCCACAUCGGAAGUUUAGACUAAUAUGGUCUAAUAUAUAAGUAAUGUCCAACUCUAAUUAGUAUGAGGUCUUUUGGGAAGGAGCCCAAAAUCAAAUCCGUGUGGGCUUUGUCAGUUGGGCCCAAAGCAAACAAUAUCAUACUAAUUGAAAAAGUUGGACAUGCGUUUUUCAAGCCCAAUAUUAUUCAGGUGAAAAUUUUCAUCACUAUUUUCAGAAUGAUAGGCUAAAGUGUAAGAGACAUUUUAUUAUUAUUGUAUCUCAAAAAACGUGGAAAUGUUACAUAAGCCUUUAACAGUCUUUUUAAAAAAAAAGCUAUAUUCAAGAUAUUUAGUUUUUUUUUUAAAUAAUAUAUAUAUAUAUAUAUAUAUAUAUACACAUAUAUAUGAUAUUUAAACUCUAUAAAUAAGAGUUUGAUAUUUCUAGUCCAGAUAAAGUAACGUUAUAAUGCUGCCCAAAAAAUAAUACUACAAAUAAUUAUUUUCUAUUAAAUUUACAUUAUAGCAUUUUUUUUUAUAACAUCUAUUUUAUUAGAUAGUAAAAAAGUAAUACAUCAUGUUUACAAGCCAUUUUGGCAAAGAUUGAAAAACAUAAUACAUAGCAUGAAAACAACAAUACAUAAAAUUAAAAACACAAAGCACUAAAUCAAAGAAGAUGAGUUUAAACGAUUUUUUUCUUCGAAUUUUUCUCGCUGAAAAAGUGUCCACACCUUCUUUCCUCGUAAUCGCAUUUGAUCUAAAGCGAUUUUUUUUUUUGCUAUGAUCCAUCUUUUCUCCUGUUGUAUGUUAUUGACACAUUUCCAAGUAAGAACUAAAAAUAUUCUAUGAAUAAGAAUCCAAUCUUUUGAUUCUUUCCAUAGAAAAAAUACUUGAAAUUGCCAAUUUUCUACGACUGUACGUAUGUCGCCAUACCACAAGGAGUUUUCAUCUUCCGCUCCAAACCCUUGUCCCCUCCAUGGUGGUUUCCAUGUUUGUUGUUCCCAUAGUAAUGCCAUAUCCGGCUGAAUAGAAUCAUCGAAGAAGAUCAAACAUAAAACCCAAAUUCGCCAAUCAUCGUUUCCAUGACUCCUAACUUCUCCUAUUCCCGGAUCAAAAACCCAAAUUACAUCUCCAAACCAUACAGUGGAGGAUAAUAAAAACUGCUGUGAGUGUUGAUUUAAUCUUGGAUCAAUUUGAGUAAAUUGGUUCAAGAAAGAAUUAAAAUCCCAACCAAAGACUUGACGAAUUAUAGCAUUUAUUAUUUGGUCAUAGGUGUUACUAUAGAUGAAUUUAAUGGAAAUGUUAUUUUUGGUCAAAUCAAAAUUAUUUAAUAUUUAUAAUAUGUAAAAAUUUGAUCCAAAAGAAGUUAAAACAUAAAUAGAAUCUCAAACCACAUGAUACAAACAAGAAUCUGAAAAAAAGUUUGGAAUCUCCAAUAUGAUAUACAUUUGCAUUAUUAAAAAAAAAUGGCACUCAUUGUUCUUCUCUCAAUGCUUUUUUUUGUUUCCUUCUCUCAUUCACCACCACGAAAACACACACACAUAUAUAUAUAUAUAUAUAUAUAAAUAUAUAUAUAUGUCAUGCAUUAUCAUUUAUCAUCUCAUCGAUCUAACUCAUGCACUCAGGAUCAUCAUCAAAAUGAUCUUCUCCCUCCAUAGCCUCUCUUGGAUUUCCGGCUUCCAUAUUCUGUUUUCCGCAGGGCUCCAUCACAUUAUGUUUCUGACUUGUCGACACUAGAUUCAUAGAAAGUGAUUGAUCAUGGUUGGUGUCAGGGGUUGAGUCCAUCAGGGUAUUAAAGGCAGAGUCAUGUCCAAUACACCUCGUCGAAAAAAGAAUAUCUUCCUUAGAAGAGCCAAAAUUUCGAACCAACAGUCAAUAUCCAUCUCAUUGACGUCAAUGUCAAAAUAAAUCAGCUCUUCGAUCGGAACAUCAUUAUCUUCCACAUAAGGAACCAAAGCCAUAUCUUCCAUAUUAGUUUCAAGGGAUUGGGUUUUAUUGGUUUCAAAAGAAGCAUGUCUUCAAGAAGAAGAAAACUUUCUUCAGAAAACAACCAAUCUAUCUGGUCUGUAUUGGUUUCGAAAAUGGUGGUCGUAUUGGUUUGAGAAGAGGUUUCAUAACUUGUUUGACCAGAAGCAAAACCGACAUGGGAAAUGACAUUUUGAGAAAGAACAUGAUUUUCUCCAGAAGAAACCAUACCCAUCUGGUUACUGAUUUCAGAGGGAAUCAUAUUUUCAGAAGCAACAUAGCCUUCUACUGAAGAAAUAUUGGUUUCAGGAACAUUUAUGUUCAUAUCAGUUUGAGGAAGAACAUAAUUUUCUAGGGUAGGAAUCCAAUCCAUCUGGUUCAUAUUGGUUUCAGAUGACUAAUGUUUUCUGUUGAUGGAACACAACCUAUUUGGUUUAUAUUGGUUUCAUGAUCGCGAAUAUUAUCGGUUGAUGGACUCCAACUUAUCUGGUCCAUAUUGGUUUCUAAAGUGUUCAUGGUAAAGUCUAGAUCUGGAAGAAAAUAACUUUCUCCCAUAAUGCACAGAUCAGCUUGAGGAACAUAAGGCUCUGGUAUAUAAAUAAAGUCUAGAUCUAGUUGGUUCCAAUCGAUUUCAAGAACAGAUGAGCUAGGUUGAAAUGGGUUAGGUUCAGACUGAGGAAUACAAAUCCCGGAAGACUCCAUCUGGAAUGCAUCUGUGUUAGAUGCACCAACACUUGAUGACAAACCAUAAAGAACAGGAGGGUUAUCACUACUUAAGCCACUAUGGUUAGAUGCACCAACACUUGAUGACAAACCAGAAAGGACAGGAGGAUUAUCACUUAAGCCACUAUGGUUAGAUUCUCCAACACUUGAUAGCAAACCAGAAAGGACAGGAGGAUUAUCACUACUUAAGAUAAUAUGGUUAACAUCAUGGAUAGAAAAAAUAUGGGAAGGUGGGUUGUUACUUGUGGCUGAAGGAGCGUAAUUGACUUCCAUAGGUGACUUGUUUAAUAGGUUACCAAAAAGUGAGUGUUUACUCAGAUCCAAUUUUCCACCUAGAUGAAACUUGGGCACCAUCUUCGCUUUGCCCUUUUCAGCAGAUUUUUUGAAUGAAUCUGCAUACAAGAAAAACAAAAAACAUUAUUGACACAAAGAUGUUGAAUUGUGAAAAGUAUAUAUAUAGUAAAAGAACAUGACUUGCAUUGGUCGAUGGAUCAGGAGGAUGCUUCCUUCUUUUUCAGAGAAUACCACUUUGUGUUACUUUCAACGAUAUUCUUUGCUAAGUUGGAUGCAUUGAAAGGAUAUUCAUAGUCUGAAGGGUAGUUGAAUGUCUUAUCUGUUGACCUCCAUUCAUUCCUCGACAACGAAUGGUUCAUUAGCUUAACUUGUGCUUUGUAUUUCUGAAACAAUUAAUUAUAGAAUAAAACAGGUUAUCAUAAGGCUAGUAAAAUUAUAUAUUGAAAAAGAGUGUAUAUAAAUGUAUAUAUGAACCUGAAGGUGGCUACCGACUUGGCAAAGAUUCAAGUCUGAGUCAUUCAUAAUGCUCAAUAUGGAUUUAGGACAAGAAUCUGUAGGAUAAAGAACUGUAAUCAAUUGGUAGAAAGAAGAAUUGGUCAAAACAAAAAAAAUCUUACCUUUUGCACCCAAUAUGGAUAUAGCUGUUAAAAAUAUCAUUUGGCGCUCCUGGAGUCAAUACAUUGCAUCGUCUUCCAAUAUUACUCUCCAUAUUUAUUCCUUCCUCUCUCUUGUUCUCAGCCUCAGUGGGAUAAACCGGUUUAGUUUUUCCUUCAUCAAUUGCUUUGCCUUUUCUCUUUUGGUAUGUUUCAGGGGUUGUAAAUGUUUUGACGAAGGGUCGUCUUCCUAACAAAGAUGACUGACUUGUUCUCUGCCUCUUUAUGGUUUCUCUAAGAGAUUCAAUCUGAUUUAGUAUAUUUUUCUCCACAACUUUCUCUUGUUGUUCAGCGAUGUUGAUUUUCUUUAACUCUUGGCUCUUCUUAGGUACCACAUGCUGCCAUAGGUUUUCGAUGUCGUUUUCAGAAAUCGGCUUCGUUAGACAAAAACGUGCACUUUUUGUCAAAAGAUCUGAUGUUUCCUUGGUAUUUAUUUCUGGACUUAUCACUUUAACAUCAAAAAAAUAGAUAAAUUAAUCUGUGGAAGAAAGUAACAAACAGUGUAAAGAGUAAGCGCAAGAAGAAUGUGUAAAUGUUUGCUUACGUAUAAGAGGAAUUUUUUUGUGAAGCAAAGCAGUGAGAAAGGAAUGUGAAUCUAUAUGAGGCAUUUCAAUGUUGGCUAUCACAAGUCCAGUAUCCUUUUGCUUUUCGAUCAUCGAUAAAGCCUCACUUGCCUUGUUCAAGCUCAUCACUAGUACAUCAAUUUAUAUAUUAAAUAUUUACAAAAUCCAAAAAAAAACAUUGUUCAAAACAAUAAUCAAGUUUCUUCCAUUUUAGUUUUAGUUAUAUAAAAAAGUUGAAAAAACAAUAGAUUAACACGCACAUUUUCGAUUAUAUAUGAUGAUUAGCUAACCUAAUACAUAAUAUAUUAUUUAUAUACAUAUUAAUAUUUGAAAGAAAUUUUUUGGGCUAGAACCAGACAUCUAACAAUCUGAUUAUCCGAUUAAAAUAUAGAAUAUAUGUAUUAAAACUCAACAAUUAUACAUCUAGGGUAUUCAAUAAAAAAUUAAUAAAAAAUUAGAGUUCAAAUAUUUUAUUAAAUUCUUUCUUAUCGAUUUUUAUUUAUUUACAAAAAAAUAUUUUAAAAGAGAAAUUUAUAUGCGUAUUAUCAAUUAUAUUUGAUGAUCGACUAAUCUAAUACAUAAUACAUUAUAUAUAUAUAUAUAAAUAUUUGAAAACUUUUUCCAGCUAAUACCAAACAUUCGAAAUCAUGUUAAGAAAUCAUUUCUAAAUAACAUCAGUUAUCAAAAUCUCAUAUAUAUUCCACAAAAUAUAGAUUAUACUAAAAUUUAAUGGUUUUUACAAAAUAGUAUCCAAUAUCUAUGACAUAUUAUUAUCCAAACUAAUAAUCGUAGGUGAUUAGGAUUUUCAACAAAAGGGUUGUAAGAAAAUCAUCUUCAAAACUGAGAUCCAAGACCAAUCAGUAGCCUAUAGCUUUAAUAUUCUGUAAAUUAAAUUAUAAAUUAUAAUUUUCUAUGCGAAUUCACAUUUCUUCAAAUUUGUUCAGAGAUCCUGAUUUAUACAAUGUAGAAAUCUCAAGAUCUAGAGACGUUGAAUUAUAAUCAUCAGGAAAAUAUUCAGCAAAUGCUAAAAUUUACCAUACCAAAUGUAACAAAUUAGAAUAAUACCGUUGAUAUGUAAAUGGAAAAAUGAUCAACAUCAAUAUAAAUGGUAAACAAUUUUUUUUUACCUUUAUACGAAAAUUGCUUAAGCAUUGAAGUGAGAAAUUCAAUUGAUGUAGUGUCAUUAUCGAUUAGCAGAACUGAAAUAUCACCAAUGCGUUCAGGAACUAUGUUUCCAGCCAAAUUUACGGUCAACUUUUCAGUCAUAUUUUCAAAAAUAUAUGAUAUGAAGGUUUGAAAUAAUAACCGAGUUAAGGGGAAAUAAGCUAUUGCAUGGACGUAUAUAAAAGAAAGAAUAGAAAUUGUAGACCCAACAAGGUCAUAAAUUGCAAACAACACCAGAUGAAGAAAACUAUUUUAAUUUCUAUCAAAUAUAUUUCAUUUCAUCAUUGACCCUACCUAUAAUAUAUUUUUUUAACUCUAAAAAUAUACCCAGUCUAAAGUAUAAUCUAUUAGUUUAUAUAAUUCAAAAUCUUAUCAAACACAUGGUAAAUGAUAUUAUAGCAUUGGUAGUGAUAAAUAUAAUUAUUUUGGGAAUAUUAUAGUGUUUCUUGACCGAUAUAAUUUGAGAAUUUACACGAUAGUCAUCGACUUAAAAAUCCAUAUAUAGUUAGUUGUUAUUUCAUUUAUAAAUUUUGACUAGAAAUAUACAAUUAGUUCAUUUUUUAUACAAUGUUUUAGAAAAUGAUUAAUUAAUUAACAAAAAGUAAACAUAGAAAAUUUUUGUAUAUGCAUAAAAGAUUUUUCAUAGAAAAAUUUGGUGGAAUUAUGUUUUCUCUUUUUUCUUAUAAUUAGAUAAUAUUUUUAUUUCAGUCAGGAAAAAAUGUAGCUACAGAUGUGUUUUAGAUUUAUGGAAGCGUAAAAUAUUCUUAAUAUGUAAAGUAAUAUAAGUUCUCUAUAUAUUACACAAAAUAUAAUUCAAAUUUUGUUAAUAGUUUUGAUAUCAAAAGUUAUUCAUGCAUGCGUUUUACAAUUCGAUCCUUACCUUAUUUCGAGUACAAUAGGCAUGUGACUGGUCAAGUUUUUAAACUCUUAAGUAACUUCCAUAAUUACGUAGAAACUCAAAAAAAUUCAAGAAUAGAAUAAGGUUCAUCUUUUUAUAAAUGUUUAAUUUGAAACGUAUGCUAACACUUUAAAAUAAAGUAUUGAUAAUUAUAUGUUGUGAUGUUGUGUAAUGUAUAACUAAUGCUCGUUUAGUAGUGAACUCGUGAUCAAUGAUGGACUCCAGCUACAAGUUUGUUUUCCUUCCGAUCUGUUCACUACACUACAAGAAAGAAGACCUUUUAUAUUGGAAGAUAUCGACGUAAAAUCGACGUAAUGGGCCAUUUACGUCAAAUUAGUGACGAAUGAAAAAUUAUCGUAAAACAAUCAUCGUAAAAGAGAAAUCGUCGUAAAAUCUUCGUAAAUUACCAACACAAUAAAAUCGUCAGAAACAAUUCGUCGCAAAAACGACGUAAACGUUCCAACGAAAGUACGACGAAUUAAUUUUAACACAACAACGACGUAAAAUCGAUGUAAAAUUACAUCGGAUUUACAACAAUUUCGAGACGAUCUAUUUCGCAAAAGUCAAAUAAAUUUAUUAUAGAUCGACGUAAAAUCGUCGUAAUAUAUCGACGUAAAGUCGACAAAAAGUAUAUGGACGUUUUAAAAUAUUUGCCUUUAAUUAGACGUAAAUUUACGACGAGUUUACGUCGAAUUAGAAAAAUAAUUAUUAAAAUUGGAUUUUAAUUUAAUUAUUGAAUUUUUAAAAUAAUCAAAUAAAGGAAAAUUUAAAUUUAAAUUCGAAAAUAAUUCAUAAAUUAAAAUACAAAAUUAAAUACAAUUUAAAAAAAAUAAAAACUAAUCUACACAGUAAAUUCAUAAUCGUCGAGGUUGAGAUCGACGUCUCGAGGAGGCUCUCCGUCAUGUCCGUCCGUCGCUGUUGUACCAUCGUUUCCCGUCUGCACUACGGGAUCCGAAGUCUGACCCUGCGUCUGCUGGUCAGAAGGUCCACCCGCAAUAAUCCUGUGUGCUCGCCGUUGCCUCUCUCGAAAGUGGAUCGUGAAUAUUUCUAAUCCGUUUUUGAAGUCUUCAGUCAAUGACCCAUCAACAUUUUUGGGCGUAUACAUCCACUUUCGUAGAUCGUAUAUAGACAUUUAAAAACAAAUAAAUGACUUUUUGUUUUUGAAUUUUGAUAUAAAUUUCAACUACUAAAAAUUUUACUCAAACAUUCAAAGACUCAAAAAAUUGUGUCUUUAUAUGUUUUUUUGGUUGAUGGAAUAAUGAGAGAAGAAAUGGUAUAUAUAGAUUUUUUGUUUGGUUACCAACAUAUUGCCAUUGAAUAUUAACAUCAAAUUUACGUCGAAAUAAAAUUUACAUUAUAUUUACAUCGAUAUUACGUCAACUACAAGAUGGAGGCCAAUUCAUCGUAUUAUCGAUGUAAAAUUUACGACAAUGUUACGACGAAAUGUAAUUCGUUCUUUAUUCGUCAUAAUGUUGUCGUAAGUUUAUGACGAUUUUACGAGAAUACUAUUUUAUAUCGAAACGACGAAAUAUUUUGACGUCGUACGUAAUUUCGUCGUAAAUUUACUACGACCAUAAAUCGACGUAAAAAAUUCGUUGGAAAUGUCCCUCUUUCUUGUACUAUACAAGGAUUCAUAAAUAAUGAAGCUGUUUUGUUCGGUGAGUGCAUUAAUGUGAGUUAUACAAAAUUUACAUUGGUUACAAAAUUAGGAGACCAUCUCCAUCGGUUUGUUAGGUAAUUUAGAUAAUAAUAAAAAUUAAGAAAUGAUUAAAAAGUUAACAAUUCGGGUUGUUAGGUUGUUGUGGAAGAACCCAGGAAUAUAUAAAAACGUGGCACCAUGUCAUUGGUGGAAGAUUUUUUAUGUGUGUGGGCUAAAAAUCAGGAAUAAGCCCACAUAAAAAUUCUUAAUUUUUUUAAUUAAAAAUUCAUAAUUAAAAAAAUUUUAAGAAACCCAAUCCCAGGUUUAGGGAUGGAGAUGUUUUGCGUGAGUACAUUUUCUCUUUCUUAUAUAAAGUGGAUCCACCAUAACUCCUAAACUAAAUGAGACACACGAUGAGGCCGCAUACAGUGUGGAGAAGGUACACAAAUUCCGCAUUAUCGUUAUAAAAGCUAUGCGAAGUCUUUAAAAAUUAUCUACCGUUCUAAUAACUAACUAAAGUAAUCACGAGAAAUAGUAGUUGGAUAACAAGAUUUUUUUUGUCUUUCUGCUAAGGGCGAAAAAAGUAAUGUAACCUGAGCUCUUUUGCAUCUCUUCUCCGGCGAUGCCGACAGCGUCGGUCUCAUCCUCUUCUCCUCAUGGGGUAGAAAAAACAACCCAAAAAAUCUCCACCAUCCAAACCCUUGUGCCCUCCUCUGCCGCAGGUGAAAUAACCUUCACCAUCUUUGUUUUCACUCAAUGAAGCCGCAAAUCCCUUUGCUCACUCAGUGGCGGGGGAUCCUUCGUCUCUAGCACAGCAAAUCCUUACUGAUUCUGAUUCUCUAGCCUCGACUGACAGCAACUCUCGCUCAGAUCCAAUUGUGAUAGUUCCUGCAACAGUCCAAGCCCCCAAAUAUCAUUUAUGUAAAAGUUGUUGAGACAACAGAUCCAGAACUGAAGAACUCAUCAGUAGAGGCACCAAUUGUCCCGACAAUCCCUGCCUCUGAAUCUGUUUCCGUGAAAUAGUCUUUGGCUGCAGUUCCGGAAAUCCUAAAAAGUUCAAAACCCACUGUGAGUGAUUUGUGGUCAGGAUUAUUCAAAGGUGCUACGAAGCAACUGCAGAAGAAAGGCACAACUUUUACCUUCCCAUCCGAUGAAGCUUAUGUGAAGAUUCUCAAAUAUGUAAUCGAAAAGAACAAAAAAUCCUGGGAAAGUUUCAUCUGUGGGCAAUUAUACACAGAUACGCCCUCCCAGAAAACUGUUCAUAACAUCGUGAAUGGAAUUUGGAGUAAGCAUUUCUGUGAUAUUACAGUAUCAAAGAUAGAGGGCAAUACCUACCUUUUUCAGGAUACCAAAUCCUUCCACUCGACAAUGGGUUUUAACUCAGAGAUUAUGGCAGAUAGAAGGUAAAACGAUGUUUGUCACGAAUUAGGAGUCUGGCUUUGUUCCAUUGAAGCCCGAGCUCUCGUUGUCCCCUAUUUUGCUGAACUAAGAAAUGUUCCUCUACAGUUCUUCAAUGAAGACGGCUUUGAACACAUUGCGGGAUUUGUUGGAGAGCCAAAAUGUCUCCAGCCUAUAACUGCAAACAAGACAAAUCUGUAAGUAACGAAGGUAUUCACGAUAACUGAUCCUCGUAAACCUCUUUCAGAAGUUGUCAAUAUCCAAUUUGAUUCUGGAGAGAUCAAUAGAGUUUUAGUGUCCAGUCUGUGGAUGCCACCACUGUUUUAGUUCUGUAAGAGGUGAAUCAUCAUCUGAGGCAGUGCAAUGAAGCUCCAAUCUUUUGCAAGAAGUGCAACUCAAAAAUUCACGUGGAAGAGAAUUAUGCAAGAACCGUCCUACCUGAACAAAAUAAUCCAAACUCCCAUAGAAACAGAGCCAAGGGAUUAGCUGGAAAUACUUAGAAGUGGGUUAAAGUUGCUGAGAAAUCAUCUGCCAAAUCUGUCAAGUUUACUGAGUCUUCACUGGGGAAAGAAAACAAAUCUUCAAAGGGAGAGUUCAGUGGCGCUGUGGUCUGGUACAUCUUCAAGGGAAGAUCGACGAAAAUGUUAAAGGUCCUCCUAUCCCUGACACAAAAAAAUCAUCAGGAGUGGAAUCAGAUUCUUCGGACGUUGCUUUUGUGGACUUCAGCAAUGUUGUAAACCUGCAGGGUGAGCAGAGUGAGUUCGCAGAGGUAGUUUCAAAAAAGAAGAAGAAGGAUAAGAGGGACAAGAGCCCCAACAAAAGCAGCUUAAUAAAUGGUUGAAGAAAAACAAACCGUUUUAUGAGAGUAUUAUAGAAACCCAUGUGAAACAGCCUAAAUGUAGGAAUUUCAUUAAUAGAUCGCUUCCCGGCUGGUCUUUUGAACAGAAUUAUGAUUUCUCCAUUUAACAAGUGUAAAGGCUGUUGUGGUGGCUAAGUCUUUGCAGAUGAUCACCUACAAAGUUAUGUUUCCUGAUGUGCAGCAGUGGGUUAUUUUGUCAGUGAUGUAUGUUUCUACAGUUGAGACUCUGAAAAAGGAUCUUUGGGCAGAGCUGAUUGUUUUGUCUUCAAGCCAGACUGUUGAAGAAAAAGAAUGGAUGGUCAUUGAGGAAUUUAAUCAAGUUCUCCAUCUACAUGAGCAUUCAAGAGCUAUUACUCUUAAUGUGGAUAGGAGGACAAGAGAAUUCAGGCAGUGUUUGUUGUCGGCUGAGGUGUCAGAUUUGAACUACUGAGGAAACACAUUUACUUGGUGGAAUAAAUGUAGUGCCAGGCCAACUGUGAAGAAGUUGGACCACAUUCUUGUAAAUGAGGUUUGAUCUACUUUUUUCCCCUCUUCAUAUGCAAUAUGUGGAGAGCAUGGUUUUUCAGACUAUGCUUCUUGUGUUGUCGUCUUGGAGUUGGGUUCUCAAAGGCAGAGGAGACCUUUUAAAUUCUACAAAUUUUGCCUCCAGAACCAAGACUUUUACCCUCUGGUUUGUGAACAUUGGUUCUCAUGUAACAUGGUGGAAUCAGCAAUGUUAUGUCUCUCAAGGAAGCUUAAGCUUCUGAAAAAUGUCAUAUGUAGAUUCAGUAGAGAUAAUUUCUAGGAUUCAGAGAAAAGAGUUAUUGAAGCUCAUGAGAAGCUUUUGCUUUGCCAGUCUUAGACUCUAACUGAUCUGUCUCGAACAAAUGCAAAACUGGCGUUUGAAGCACAAAGAAAGUGGCAGAUCCUGGCAAGUGCUGAAGAGUCCCUUUUCUGCCAGAGAUCAAGUGUAACCUGACUUAAAGAAGGUGAUUGUAACACUUCUUAUUAUCACAGAAUGACUGCAUCUAGGAAAGCCAUAAAUCACAUUCACUUCCUUAUUGCACCAGAUGGAGAACAUUUUGAAUAUCAAACAGGAGUUUAAGAGCAUUGUGUUGAUUAUUUCUCACACUUUAUGGGUUGUGAGGUUGGUCCCCAGAUGCUGAUCUAGUCGGAUAUGGAGCUCCUCCUUCCAUUUUGAUGCUCUCAGGCCCAAAAAGAGAGUAUGAUAAAGAGCUUCUCGAAGGAGGAAAUCAAACACCUGCUUUUCUCAUUGCCAAAAAACAAAACCAGUGGACCUAAUGGGUAUUCCGCUGAGUUUUUCACCUGUUACUGGAGUAUUGUAGGGCUGAGGUAUGUGAGGCAGUUGAAGAAUUCUUCCGAUUUGGAAAGCUGCUUCAGCAAUGGAACACUACAACUUUGAUCCUCAUUCUCAAUAUCACAAACGCCUCUUCAACAUCUGAUUUCAGGCCAAUAUCCUGUCUCAACACUAUUUACAAAGUCAUAUUCAAGUUAUUGGCAACCAGAUUUCAGAAGAUCCUGUCUCAGGUAAUAUAUCCCUCUUAAUAGGUUUUCAUGCCAGGUAGGCUGCUUGCAGAAAACGUUCUACUGGCUACGAAAAUUAUGCAUGGCUAUAACUGGAGGAACAUCGAUUCCAGAGCAAUGCUUAAGGUGGAUCUUAGAAAGGCAUUUGAUUCAGUAAGAUGGGACUUUGUCCUCUUGACCUUAAAAGCGUUGGAGUUAUCAGAAAUAUUUGUUAAAUGUAUCAGUCAGUGCAUCACAACUCCCUCGUUUACAAUUUCAGUUAAUGAUAUCACCAGAUGCUACUUCAAAAGCGCAAAAGGAUUAAGGCAAAAAGACCCUCUCUCUCCUUACCAUUUUUCCUUGCAACGGAGGCCUUCUCAGGAUUUUCCACUCUAGAUUUGAGGCUGGGUAUAUCCAUUACCAUCCCAAGACGGCAGAACGGAACAUAUCUCACCUGAUAUUUGCAGAGGACGUGAUGAUUUUUUUUAUGGUGGGAGUUCAUCGUUACACAGCAUAACUGAAGGAUUAGAAAACUUUGCGUCUUGGUCAGGAUUGCACAUGAACAGAGACAAGACUCAACUAUUUCAGGCAUGAGUAAACCACAUUGAAUCCACUGCAAUGGCAAGCUAUGAAUUCACUGUAGGUUCACUAUCAAUCCAAUACUUGGGUCUUCCCCUUAUGCAUCGUAAACUGAGACUCUCUAAGUAUGACCUCCUUUUGGAGAAGCUUGCUAAUAUAUUCAGAUCUUGGGCUGUUACAACCCUCUCAUUCCCAGGGAGAGCUCAGCUGAUUGCUUCAGUGAUAUUAGGAACCGUCAACUUCUAGAUUUCCACGUUUAUGCUCCCCAAAGGUUGUAUUAAAAAUUGAAUCUCUGUGUGCUAGGUUAUUGUGGUCUGGUAGUAUUGUGACAAGAUGAGGAGUAAAAGUAGCAUGGUUUACUGUGUGUUUGCCUAACUCUGAAGGAGGUCUGGGCCUGAGAAAAUUUUCUGUGUGGAACAAGACGCUAUGUCUGCGGUUCAUUUGGUUACUAUGCUCUGAAAGUGGAUAUCUCUAGGCUGAAUGGCAUAUCAGAGCUUCUGGUUGGUGGAGGCAUAUUCAGCUGAUUCAUGGACGUGGAAAUCUCUAUUGGAUCUUAGACCAUUGGCUGAAAUGCUCUUAGGAAAUCUGUUGGAAAUGGACGAAAAACAAAUUUUUGGUUGGAUUUUUGGACACCUCUUGGUCCACUAAUUAAACUUCUGGGUAAUGAUGGCCCGAGAAAUAUCAGGCUCCGUCUUUCUGCUAUAGUCGCAGAUACAUGCACAAUGGAGACUUGGAGAAUCCCAUCGCCAAGAUCUGUAGCACAGCUGAGUCUCCAUAUGCACCUAACGACUAUCAACUUACCUUCUUCCUCUCAGAUCGAAGAUGACUGUUUUUGGUUGGAAAAUGGUGUUAAGUGCAGCCAGUAUUCCUCCUCUAAGACUUAGGAUGAUCUAAGGCCACAACAAGGUGAAACAGUGGUCUAAGCUUGUAUGCUUUAAAGAUUGUGUUUCGAGGCAGGCUUUCAAUAUAUGGAUUGCACACUUGAAUAGGCUCCCCACUAGAGCCAGAAUAGCUUUUAGAGGAACAAAUAUAUUCACAGAUUGUUGUCUUUGUUCCAGAGACGAGGAAACGAGAGAUCAUUUGUUGUUCAGUUGUGCUUAUAGCUCGGAAAUCGGAAAUCUGGAGGCUGAUACUUACAAGGUUAGACCAUACCCAGAGUCUGUUCAUCUUGUGGUCGGAGUUGUUAUCAUGGAUAAGUAUGCGUUCUGAUGCUGCCCCUUAUACCUGAAAGGUGGUGGCUCAGGCUAUGGUUUACCACAUUUGGAUGUCAAAGAAACAAUUUGCUGCACAACUAAUAAAGGAUUCCUGCAUCCAGCAUUUUCAAGUCCAUUGAUCGUGUGACUCGAAACACCAUUACUACGAGAAGACAAAGACGUUGCUUUAGCAACUUUAAUGUCUCUUUGGCUUCAAUGAAACAAUAUAAAAUCUAAUUUACUGUGUAUUGUUCUCCUUGUUUUUUAUUUCUUUUUUGCCAAGGAAGUUUUGUAACAGGUUAGCAUCUUUUAUAACCUUCUUUUCAUUUUAAUGAUAUUAACAUUCAUAGCAAAAAAAAAAAAAAAAGAAAUGGUACUUGCAAUGUUUUACACCAUGUUUGUGUUUUAAAAAUAUUUCACACUACAUAUUCAAAGUUAUAAUGCAGGAUACAAUUUGUUUCUAGUCGAAAAGGUCAAAAAUAUCCAAAUUUUUUAUGUGGUGUUUUCAAGAAUUAUGCUUUUAAGAGAAUUUAAGAAAAUCGGACUAUUCUAUCGAGAUACUAUAACUUAUUCAACAGAAUAUCUAAAGCAUUUGUUCUGAAAGCAAGAAUUCUAGAUGCUCUUCUCCCCAUUUGUUUUUGGUCGAAUGCCACAAAAGAUGUUGAGAAUUAGGCACAAGAACCGGGUUCAAUAAGUUGACAAAUACCAAACCGAGGACCGACGUGGAAUCGUGGAGAAAAAGUUACAUUACAAUAAAGAUAAAUAAAGAAAAGGGAAGAUGACGUAAAGCUCAGAUUUGGAGCCUAACGAACUCCACGUCACCGCCUAAGUUCAUCCAUUGAAAUUUGACGGCGUCUUCUACUCUUCUAUCAUAACCCUUCGUUCUUUCAUGUGAACCACGUCACCGCCAUUCUCUUUUUUUUUUCUUUCUUAAUACAUUUCUCAAUAUGCGUCCAAUAUCAUAAAUAUAAUAUAUAUAUAUAUAUACAAUUUAACCUAUUAAGGCAUUGCAACUUGUAGUGAACUUUCAAAGGAACUUGCAUCCACAAAUUUAAACAUUUUUGCAUGUUGUAGAAUUGAACACGAAUAAUAAAGUGUGUAUUGAUGAUACACUUGUGUUACUUAUUUGACAAUUUAUUUGGUUUUCUUAGAAAAACUGAAACUGGCUUAUACAGUAUGUUUGUACACAUUUUUUGUAUUCGAAGAAAUUGGGGCAUCAUACAGUGACAUUGCUAUUAAUGUUUCUUCUAUAUCAAACCAAGUGAUAACAAAAUAUAAAAAGUAAUAAUGUUGACUUGUAAAUAAAGUAAGAAAAUUAAAUUCUGUCAUUUCAGAAGAGGAAGUAUGUCACAUGUAUAAUAGAUCAUCGAUACUUUUCAUGAGAACUUCCACAAGAAAGCCAUUGACUUCUUAUACCUUUCUCAAUUUUCCAGCUUGACCCAUUUUUUUCUUUUGAAGUUAUGAGAACUUUAUGUAUAAAAACAUUUUAGACUAGACCUCAAGAAAAUUCAGAUAUUUUUAUAAUUUGUGAAAAAAAUGUUGAAAUAAAUUGAUUGGAUUAUUUCUAUUACUAACGUUAAUCCAGUAUUAUGGUGGUCUAUAUUAUUAUUAUAGCCACCUAUACGGAAUGUUGAUGUGCCAAACAAUGGAGACACACAUUGUGUACUUGGAUUAAUGAAUAAAAUGACAUGUAUCAGUCUAUGGGACACAUAGUAAACUAGAUUAUUUCAUACCUAAAAUGCUAUAAUAUUUGAUUGAUAAAUGAUAAGAACAAAGAAAAGUUCUUGCAAGUUUGAAAAAAAAAAAGAGAAUAUCUUGACUCGUGCGGAUCUCAAACUUUUCUUUUCUAUCCUCUUCUCAAAUUAUAUUCCAAGUAAAACACGCAAUUACCAUAAGAGUUAAACAAUAUAAAAAGAGUUCUCAACUAAAUCUUCCAAAAGAGGCUUUCUCUUAUGGUUCACAUGUAAGUAUAUACUUUAAUUUACAUAAAAUUUAAUUUAACGAAUCCUAAUGAGCCUAUUUUCUGAACACGUACAAAUCAAUUUAAUGCAUAUCUUCACAUUUACACAAGAAUAAAGAAACUACACAUAUUUUUACUCCAUUGCUUCUGAAUUUAUAUAAUUCUUUCCAUUUAAUAUGAUUGAGUUUUUAUCCCUCUAACAAGGAAAAAUAUUAUAUAUAGAUACAAGGAAAGCCCAUUUCAUUAUCUAUCUUCUCUUUGAUUCAGCGAGCGAAAUAAAAACAAAAGGCCAAAAAUGGGUGCAGACGCAAUCCAAACGAACGGUCACGAUCCCGCCAAGUUAACCGCCGCGAGAGGGAUCCAACGGUUGAGAUGCGCCGUGAAGAACUACGAGUGGGGCAAACUCGGACCGGACUCACUUGUUGCGAGGCUCCACGAGGCGAAUUCAGGGGACCGAGUCGACCCGGUGGUUCCUCACGCCGAGUUGUGGAUGGGUACUCACGAGUCGGCACCGAGUUACGUUGUGAAGGAAGAAGAAUUCGGGUCGGGUCGUAAUGGAUCCGAAUGCAUGGUUACAUUGAAAUCAUGGGUUUUGGAUUAUCCGAAUUUACUCGGGUCUAGAGUCGUGGACAAAUGGGGUUGUGAUCUUCCUUUCCUCUUCAAGGUAUUAUAUUUUAAAAGUUUCCAAUUAAAACAUGUAUAUUCAAAACCUUCUUUCAAAAAAAAAAAAAAACAUGUAUAUUCAGAUUCUGUUUAUGGUAAAUCUUUUUGUUUUUCCAGUUUUGUCUCAUACAUAAUUGUUCAGGAACAAAAGUAUUAUUUAUUUGAUCCUAAGAUUCUCAUUUUGAAUAUUUUUGCUCUGUUUUGAGGAUUUUACUUUUUGACUCUGUUUUCUUAUAAAAUUUCUAAUUAAAAGUCAAAACAUAUAUAUAUAUAUAUAUAUAUAUGUAUUUUUUUGUAAUUUCAGAUUCUGUGAAUUGUCAAUUUCUCCACUUUUUAUAUUUACAUAUAUUAUAUAUACAGCCAAUUUGUCUUGUUAGAUACAUAUAUAUUUUGGCUCUGUUUUGAGGAUGAUACAUUUUAACUCUGUUUUCUCAAUUUAUAAAAAUGCAUUUCUUUUUCUCUGUGUGUUUUAAAUUUAAAACAUAAAGGUUUGAUUCUAAUGAAUAAGAGUUUGAUGUUGAAAUGUGCAAAAAAUAAAAACAGGUUUUGUCAGUGACGAAAGCAUUGUCGAUUCAAGCACAUCCAAACAAAGCCUUAGCAGAGAAAUUGCAUAGAGAAGAUCCUCUUCUUUACAGAGAUGCUAACCAUAAGCCUGAGAUUGCUCUCGCCAUUACUCCUUUUCAAGCUCUUUGUGGUUUCGUAUCUCUUAAUGUACUAGAUUCUUCACUUCUCUGCAAACAUCUAAUUUAGUCGGUUUUUGAUUUAGAUAACUUCGGUUAUUUUGCCUAUCACAUAUGCUAAAUCCAAAAUUGAACCGGUUCUGUACCACUUUUGAUAUCAAAUUCAGGAGCUGAAGGAAGCCAUCGCCAAUGUACCAGAAAUCACAGAGCUUGUCGGAAGUAAAGCAGCAGAUCAAAUCUUCAAAGUCAACGAACACGAUGGAGACGAAACAAGUGUUAAAUCCGUUGUCCGUUUGAUUUUCACGCAAUUGAUGUCUGCAAACAUCAAUGAUACAAAGCAAGUCAUAUCACAGAUGAAGAUUCGUCUGAUCUCAGAAACAAACCACCGUGAGUUAUCGGAGAAGGAGAAGUUAGUAUUGGAACUAGAGAAACAGUAUCCAGGUGACGUGGGCGUGAUCUCAGCAUUCUUCUUUAACCACGUCAAGCUUAAUCCCGGAGAGGCUUUGUAUCUUGACGCCAACGAGCCACACGCUUACAUUUCCGGCGACUGUGUUGAGUGUAUGGCGGCUUCAGACAACGUUGUUAGAGCUGGUCUCACUCCGAAACACCGCGAUGUUCAAACUCUGUGUUCUAUGCUGACCUACAAAUUGGUAACUUUCUUUACACGUUAACGUUUUUUUUGGUUUAGUUGGCUAGCAAAAUUUGGAUUGUACCCUAACCCUAACCAAAACCGAAAAUUUAUUUUUCUUUGUUUGGUUAUUGAUUAAUUGUACCGGAUUUGUUUCAGGGCUACCCGGAGAUUUUGAAAGGAUUUCCUCUGACUCCAUACAUUACGAGAUACCUUCCACCAUUUGAUGAGUUUGAAGUGGACCAUUGUGAUCUUCCUAGAGAGAAAUCCACUGUUUUUCCGGCCAUACCAGGGCCAUCGGUUUAUCUGGUUAUUGAAGGAAAAGGGACAUUGAAAACCGGUUCAUCUCAAUUGUUGGUUAAACGAGGAGAUGUUUUGUUUGUUCCGGCACAUAACGAGAUUCACGUAACCGGAGAAAGUGAUGUGAUGAAGCUUUACAGAGCUGGAGUCAGCAGCAGAUUCUUUCAAACAAUGUAGACUAAGUAAAGAUACAUAUAUAUAUAUUUAAUUUGUUAUCUAAAUGUAACCAUAGGGAUCAAGGCAUUGACGUGAUCAUAGUCAAUAUUGGUCCAUGUUCUUUAAUCCUACAAAUGUCCCAUUACGAAUCAAGGGUUCAAGGGGUUGUUUUUCUAUUAACUUUUGUUGUUUCUUCUACACCUUUAAAAUUGAAUUAUAUAUGUAAAAUGAUUAUAAAACAAUGUUUUUUUUUUUACUUUUUGCUAUUGUAGUGUAGUAACUAGUAAUUAUUCUUCCUUUACCUGUUUAAACUUUAAUUUCUAGAACUACUCUGCAAAAGCACAUUUGUUCAGUUGUAAUAUGUAGAGAUCGAACCACAGAGACGAGAAAUUCGCUCAAUAAACCUAAUAGACUCUAAUUGCGCUAAGAAGAAAUAAUGAAAUUGAGAGCAGCAAUGCAAUAAAAAACGGUUUUAAAUUCGAUGGGAAAGAAUUAGGCUCAGGGUGUUUCACAGAAAAUCAGAGAAUGCAGACAAAUCGAUUAGUCAUGAUUCAGAUUUAAGCGCAAUUCUUGAACUCAAAUCACGAAAUUAUAAUUAACUAACUUUUGUUGCGAAAAUUAUUUAAAUCUAAAUCCCAGAAUCCCAAUUUUCUUUGCAAUCCUAAAGAUAUAAAUUAGCCUUAAGUGCAGGUUCGAUAUGUUCACAAAGUGUCUAAACCAAUUUUUUUUGUGGAUAGCUACUUUGCUCAUCCUAGGUUCUUUCGGAUUAUUCAAUUACAGUUUCGUGUCAAUCAAUUAACCUAAGAUCUAAGUUCUAGGUGAUCAGUCCAAAAUUAGCUUUAAGAAUAAUCUAUGGUGAAUUACUAAUCAGAUUAUGACCCCUAACUAAUUAAUUAUCUAAAAUUCAAAGGGAUCCCUUAUGAGAACCCUAAACCUAACAAACAAACUACUCAAAUAUGGAGAUUGAAUCAAUAAACAUGAAUGAAUAGAUUGCAGAAAGCAGUAAAAAGAUUAAUAAACAGAGGUUCAAAAUCUUCUCUCAAACAAACAGAGUCUCAGACUUGUCUCCCUAAAAGCUCUCUCAAGAUCAAUAGAAAUCAAAAGUCUCAAAGAAAAUCUAGAGUGUAGCCAAAACACGUGGCUGAAAACCCUAUCAAAAGCUAAAACACAUGUUGGACUUCCCUGUAAAUAUUGGAGACUUCUGGGCUCAAGAGAUUCUUUAAAACUUAGACAAAAUCACGUUUUUCCUUAUUCACGACAUUGGUGUCGAGCAACACCAAAACAUAUAAAUCAUCUUUCACGAAUUUGAUCCCUGCUUAGUUCCAAAAUGCUCUAAAAUCUCCAAUUAAACUCCAAAUACAUUUAAGACCUGAAAAGACUCCAAAAAAUUAAAAAAACACUAAAGAGACUCUAUAAAUAAAACCUAUCAUGAUCAAAAACCAUAAAAAAAAACCAUGAUAUAUCAUUCUCCAUGAUAAGCAUUUUUCGAAUGGUCUGAGUCGAACAAAACAAUGUUCUCUAAAGUAUAAGGCCAAUUCUUUUUGCCUCCCUCGUCACUUACCUUUUGUUUGUGGCUUCCAUGGCAUAGACUAGAGAGAUGACCCCGAGAAGACCUAAUCUAGCACGCAUUUGUUUGGAUGUUGCUAAUGUUCCGUUUUAAAGUACAUAUGCAAAGAUCGUGGAAAGUAAAACGAACUCAAUCUUAAGUCUUGAGACAAUGAUUUUUGCCAAUUUUCCGGUAAGCUUUCCCGGUGAAAUCUUUCACUGGAAUGACCUGAUUAUGGAUGCGCUGGAAACUUGAGUACUAUAACGUGAUAUACUUAUAUGUCAAAAUCGAAUUUAAACUGAAUGAGAAAUGAGGAUUCUUAGAGAGUAUAGCUUGAAAGCUUAAAAAUAACAUAAGUUACCAAAUGACAAGUGUGAUUUGUCCCACAUUAGCAAUUCAACGUUACAUUUUGAACGUAGUGUUACGUUCUCCCCUUGAUAAUACUCAAUAGAUCUGCUUCUAGCCUGUCCCAACAAUCUGAUUCGGAUUGAGAAUUGCGGUUUUUGCGAACGUUGUUAAAGAUUUCCAAAAAAAAAAAUAUUUCAUUACGGCUUUUCACAUCAAAUCGGAAAAACUCUGCUUAGUUUUAACUUUUUAGGGAAUUUGAUAAAUAUUUGACAAACUUUGUGAAAAUAACUUUUGGAGUAGCAAAAUUCCGCAAAAAAAAAAAAAAAACUCAGAGUAAACUUACUGACAAAAGAAAAAAGUUUCCUCAAGUUGGUUUAGUCGCAUUCCUUUUGUCAAGCACUUAAUCCACUACAAAGACGUUUUGUUGUAAUUUAACCGAACUGAACAAUCAUUCCAAAUCUUAAUAAGCAGCUAAAGAGAGACAUUGAGAGACCAAGAUAAACCGGUUUACUUGCACCUACUUGCUGUUUGUUAAAGCUUUGGUUACAAAAUGUGAAACGAUUCCAACCGGACAGAAGAGAAGGCACAAUGAAACCGAAUGCCUCGUCUCAAUCUUAUUCUCUAGCCCAUCAUUAAAAACUUGCCUGCAGAGAAACACUCAAAACAUGAGUUAUAAGAAACAUGCUAGGAUCAAUCAGAACCUGAAAAGUGCAAUAUAGUACCUUGCAGCGAAAAGAUCUAUAACAAGAAGAUGAAUCCAAGCAGAAGCAAGAGUCAUUUCACUUGAGAACAUUUUCGCUAUUCCAGACAACUGCAAAUGAAAAAAAAAAAAAGAAAUUUUAGAAACUGGAAUGUACACAUUUUCUUGUUUUCGAUAUUUCCUGAUAAUUGGAGGAAAAAGCUAAAACCUCUGGCAACAUGUAUUUACUGGAAAACAUGUAUUUGAGAGUAUCAGGCGUCCAAGAAAGGUAUAACAAAUACGCGUAUAAUACGCCUAAGACGAUAUACGGUAUGCUACUCUCCAUACACUUUUUGGUCUGCACAAGGAGAAAACAUACACUCAAUUCAAUAUGAACUUUUUUGAUUCUGCACAAGAAGUUGUAAAACUGCUAAACAAAAACUCACAAUUUCAGCUUUUGGAGCUACAACCAUUAGAGUGUAAAAGGGUAAAACAGCGGUUGUUCCAACCGCAAAUACACUGCUUGCAAUCUGAGAAGUAGCUAUCCCUGCACAAGAACAUGUUAUGUCUCUGUCCUACUUUCAAUUUAAACAUUGAAGAGCUAUAGAUUCUAGACAUAUAUCAAGCCUCUUUUUGGUUUAUAAUGUUUCAGUUAAGAGACAUUACAUGAAGCUCGUACACCAGAGGAUUUCUUUUGAACAAGAGAGGACGAGUUCGAUGAAACAUUAGGGAAAAGUGCGAUUUUUGAUCCUCCGAUAAAGCUCCAACGAUUCUGAAGUCGAAUACUUGACGAACCAACGCAUAGUUUAGACUUGACAUUGCUGAGAGAAAGACUUGUUAUCGAGCUCUUAGCUGAAAUGUUGCGAUUCAUCAUCUGAAUCACCAAACAAAAUGAAUCAAUCUGAUGAAAUAUAAAAAACUUCUUUAUUUCUUAAAAUUUAGGAAUCUGAGACCAAAAGCACUUUGAUCUGAACAACAACGAAUCAGGAACAGAGUUAGGUUCUGUAACAGGGACCCAUGAGGAGUAAAUUCAACUUCUUUAAUGUCUGCGUCAAUUCGAUCUGAUUCAAAGGAUAAAACUUUAAGGUUACCCAUAAGGAAUCUGAACUAUUCGAAAUUGUAGAAAGCUCGACAUAAGAAUCUAAUCCGACAAUCUCCAACAACUGUACAUACAUACAUACAUACAUACAUACAUGAUACAUACAUACAUACAUACACACACAUAGAUAUAGACAUAUAUCUGCGUAUACCGAAAAUUGGAGAAGAAUUGAAAAAGGAAGAGAAAAGGUAGAUACCGAGAGAGAUGAAGAAGACAAAGGCUGGGAAAUGCAAGAAGAUAAAGCCAUCUGCGAUUCAAAUCUUCAAUAGUCUUUGCCAGAAUUUGGCCAUUCAUUACCUUCUUCAACGAGCUCUCUCCAUAUAUAUAUGUAAAGUAUCAAUUUUUAGAGAGGAGAGUUGAGAGUUUUCCACUGGUUGAAAAGGGUAAGUGGAGAAGAAGCUAAGAGAAAAAGUGCUCACUCACUCUUUCUUCAUCAGUGUGGACAAUUAUAGUUGCUCAUCCACCCGAAUUUUUUAAAAAAGUUUUGGUCUUUUUUAGUUUUCCUCGUUUACUUCUGUUUCGCAUAAACAAAAAAAAAAGAAAAAACCAUUAUGAGUUUGAGUUAAUUUUAAAGAGAAAAUCAAAUUUAAAGAUUCUUUAUAUUGUAUGUUCAAAAUUGCAAUAUAUUAUGGAAAAAAAGAGAAGAUUUUUUCCUAAUUUUAGAUAAAAACCUUUAAUAAAAAUCAAAAAAUUAUUAAGAUAUUAAUUUAACCUUAUAUUUUAGAUAUUGUUCUUUUUCUGGUCAAUAUAAAAAAUUACAGUUUACCAUUCUUAUAUAAAAAAAAAUUAAUUAGACUCAAAUGGAAUGUUUUUAUUUUUUUAACAAGAAUAUAACUUUCAUAGAACCUAAUACCCAAAAAAAAAACAUUUGACCCGACUAAAUUAAAAUUCAAGGAAAGAUUGGAGCUUUGAUCCUUUACUCGAUAAAAAAAAGGUUCUUCAUUGUAUGAUCAAAUGACUUGUCGGAUUGUAUUUGUAGGUGGCUCAUCGUAGGAUUAAUAGCUUCUCGGAUUUUGUUAUCCUUGUCUUGUGUUUUGCUUUUUCCGUGAAGAUCAAAAUUUUCUUCUAUACAUUCCUGCUAUAUAUUCCAUCAUGUUCUACCGGUUACACUUAUAAGCCUAUAAGGAUAUCUAAUCUACUUUUUUAUUUGAUAAAAACCUAAUAUCUUUGUUAAUGGAUAUUUGUGCUUAAACUGAAUUUAGACACAACACAGGUCUAGUUCAGGACAGAACAAGACAAAAGUGACAGUGCUACUUCUACUCAGCAGUGGUUGUGACUUCCUCUAAAGACAAAAGUUGGUGUUUCCACCAUUAUUUCGGUUUUGCUUUUAUUAUAUAUUUUAUUUUAAUUUAUUUUUCGCUACAUGAGAAUUGCAUUAACGAAGGACAUUAUAUAUGAAAACAAAAAAAAACAAUAAAAAGAUAUACAUACAUGUGUCUGACACUCAUUGUUUGUGAAAUCAGUUGGGAGUAAGAUAGCGCUUGAGUGGGCUAUUUGGUAUGAUAGCUUCUCUCUAUUGAUGGGCCUUAUUGACCCACCCCACUUCAGUUUUGUUUAGUCAUUCACAACAAGAAAAACAUGAAAACAAAAGCAACACUUGUCUUUUCUAUCUCUCAAUCUGUAAGUGGUAUAUGCGCAUUUCGUUGAAUUCGAUUGAGACCAAAACUCUUUUAAAACAUAAUGUAUAGUUCUUAGGAUUAUAUGGGGAAAAUAUAUGAUGUCUCAAAGAUUUUUCAUAACAUAUUAUAUUCCUUAUAAUAAAAGGUCACCUGGGGUUUUUCUAUAAACCGGGGUUUUUUUAUAAACCGCCGGCUUUUCUAUAAACCGCCGGCUUUGUCUCUGGAGAUGUUGUAUCAUCUGCCGGCUUUGUGUAAUCCGUUGGCUUUGCUCUGUAACACUAUGGUGAUCAAUAUAAUAAUAUUCAAUGAAAAAAAAAAAAGGUCACCUAAAUAAUUAAAAAUUUGAAUUUUUACGACUCAUAUUUCUAUCCUAUUCCAAAGCUAGGAAAACAACAUAAAGAGUUACAAAUUCUUACUAUAUAGUACUUCCAACAAUAUCUUUAUGUAAAUUUGUGCCAAGUCAUUUUGAGUGGAAAAUGUAGAAUAUAUGAUCCACAAGAUCCUUGAAUAUACUUGGGUAUAUAGAAAUAAAAAUGAAUAUCCGAGACUCUUAUCUACAAGCCUAUCCUUAAGAAGGCACGUCCACGAAUGUUUCUAUCACAGAUUUUCAGUGGGCCAUCAUCUAUUACUUCAAGAUAUUGUUCUAAAAAUGCAUCUCAACCUCAAGCUUACUAAUCAUGUGACAAAAGUGAUAAUGUGAAUCUAGUUUUUCAAAUAAUUUCUUUAUUCAAUGACGACUAAUCAAAGAGUUGGUAUAUUUUUGUAUUCACAGUUCUUCAACUUUGUAUAUUUUCAUAUCUUGAGCCGCAUUGUAAUUUGUUUUUUCUUAUAUGCAAAAUUCAAAAUCAAAGAUUUAUAGAACAUUACAUAUUUAUUUCAUCAGACAUUUGAGAAUCCGAUAGAAAAUGUCUCGCAAACCGGAAAACAAACGUUAAAUCCGGAAAUUAAAACAAAACUAAGGAAACCAAAAAAAAAAAAGCAGAUGAUAAAAUCAAAGGUGAGGAGGGAGAUAAAGUUUUUUUUUUUUGAUGUUUACACAAAGCAAAGAAGCAGUGAAAUUAAGCAUCGGUGAAGCUUGCUGGCUUGUAGGCGAUGAAACUGAUGCACUGGACUUGACGGGUGUUGUCGAAUCCGAUGAUCCUAAUGAAGGCCUGGGGGUACUCCUUCUUGCACUCUUGCACUUCCUUCAACACUUGAGCUGAGUCAGUGCAUCCGAACAAAGGAAGCUUCCACAUUGUCCAGUACCGUCCAUCGUAGUAUCCGGGAGUGCUUCCGUGCUCACGGUGCACAAAUGCGUUCUACAAAAACACAUUACACAAAACCAUUCAAAAACAUAAAUCAAGAUUCUGCUUAGGACCUCUAAAUAGUUAUUAACUUGAUUGCAAGAUUCAUAUGGUCCAAGAGAUCAAGCUACUCUAUAAAUGAUUUUUAUUACCUCCAACUCGAAUUCAACACAGGGAAUCCACUUGUUGCGGAGAAGGUAGUCAACUUCCUUAGCCAAUUCAACUUCGGUUAGGUCAGGAAGGUAAGAGAGAGUCUCAAACUUCUUCUUACCAAUAGGAG
Molecule: long non-coding RNA, 64983 nt
Filed under: Eutrema salsugineum
Lineage: Eukaryota; Viridiplantae; Streptophyta; Magnoliopsida; Brassicales; Brassicaceae
Description: long non-coding RNA (ESAL_LNC000110)
Source: RNAcentral